AUUGAGUGAUGUUAUUAUUUUUCAAUAAGAUAUUCAAAUAUUUAUUCCAAUUUUAUUCUUAAUAAAUAAUGUUGUCUUGAAAUAUUUAAUAAUACAUUUUUUUAAUUAAGAGAAAAAACAAGAAUAUUUUAAUAAAAUUAUUCUCUAAAAAAAUAUUAAUUCUCUUAGAAUAUUUAUUUUCUUGAUUUGUGUGAAAAAAAUGUUAAACAUUAAUCAUUUUGAGAUGAAAAAAAGUAGAUUUAUUAGUAAGGAUUCCAUGUGUAUCAUUCCGUCAGAGUUAGUAAUAAUGAUAUUUUAGCAUAUUAUAGCUUGUAAAAUAUUUUUGCAUUGGGUCAAAUGUUUUACGUCAUGUCAUUUAAUUUUAAAAGUUGUAUUAGAUAUUUUGUACCCCCAUAAUUUUCCUGUUAUAUAAUUCUUGACUCCCCAUGAUUUUCCUGAUAUAAUUUUUUAAAAAAACAUUUGAAAUUUAUUUUAUAAAUAAAGAUAAAAGAAAAUGAAUUAAAAGGAUGUUAGGAAGCUAAUAACUAUCUACAUAACCUAAAAGACCACCGUUAAAGCUAUAAAGAGAAUAAAGAUAAAUAUUCGUAUUUUGUUAUUGAUACCAGAAGGGAUCCAAUUUUAUAACCUAAUUGCCGCUAUUGAUGGCCCCACAAGUAUCAUCAUUGUAGCUUAAGAAAUUAGACAUAAAACCUAAAUAACAUAAUAGACAAUAUUUAUAAAACAUUUUGUAUUAUUUUAGUUAAAUAAAAUUCAAGAUAAAUUAAAAAAAUUUAUCUAUUUCUACUUUUUUUUUAAUUCAUUUAAGUGAAUAAUUGUUUUAACAUGUAAAAGAAUGGUUCAAAUGCCUUUUAUUCUUAAGGGGCCAUUAUUUAUAUACAAGAAUGUGCACAUGUGAUUUCUCUUAAAAUUAUGUCUAAGGUGUAUCUAUCUACCAAUUACACAUAUGCCUAAUUAUUAUCAACUCUAAUUUGCAUAUUAAAAGAUUAUCAAAUAUAACUAAUUUCCAAAUAUAGCUUAAUACCCCCCUCAAGUUGGAGCAUGCAGAUUUUGAAUGCCCAACUUGCCAAGGAAAGUUUCAAACUGCAAGUUGAAUGGUAGUAGGAACAUAGCUGGGGCGGAUAUUGUCUUUGAAAAUCUCAUCACAGACAAAGUGACAGUCUACCUCGAUGUGUUUGGUGCGUUCAUGAAACACUGGAUUUUUGACAAUGUAUAAAGCAGUCUAACUAUCAUAGCGAAUGGUCAUGGGUUUGUCAUGUACAACCCCUGGUUAGAGAGGAUCCCUUUCAACCAUUUUAACUCGCAUGUAGUGGUUGGCAUAGACCUAUACUCAACCUCAGCAGAAGACCGAGAAACUGUAUGUUAUUUCUUUGUUUUCCAAGAAAUAGGAGAGUCAGCAAACUGCACUAGCCAUCCAGUGGCUGAUUGUCUGGUCAAAGGGAAACUGGCCCAGUCUGAGUCGCACCACCCAUAAAAUUAUAAGUCACAUUCACGAGCAAAAAAUAUUCCUUGUCCUGGAUUACCAUUUAAGAAUCAAACCACUUGGAGUGCAGCUUCCUAGUGUUCUGUUCGGGGUUGUUGCAUGAAUUGAGACAAAAGGUAGACACUAUAUGACAGCUCAGGCCAAGUGAAACACAAAUAAAUCAAACGCCCAACUAAAAGCUGAUAUUGCUUGGGAUCUUAAAGAAGUUGUCCUGCAGCAAGUGACAAGUGAUGGUUCUGCUCUAAUGGAGUGGCAACGGGUUUAGCACCAAAAAGACCAGCUUCAGAUAUAAUAUCAAGCACAUAUUUACGCUGACAAAGAAAAAUUCCUGUAGGAUUUUUGGCAACCUCAAUACCCAUAAAAUACUUCAAAAACACCAAGAUCUUUCAUAUGAAAACAUGUAAAAGGUAGAGCUUAAAAUGCUUGAUGGAAAAAGGAGUAUUGCCAGCAAUGAUCAAAUCGUCAACGUACACAAGAACCACAAGUUGGUGUCUUUUUUAUGCAAAGUGAACAGAGAGUAAUCAAGAUAUGAUUGUUGAAAUCCAUAGGAUUUGAGAGCAAUAGAGAGCUUGGCAAACCAACAACGUGGAGCUUGUUUUAACUUGUAAAGAGAUUUUUGCAGCUUAUAGAUCAUGUUCGGUUGUGAAGCUGAAAAACCAGGAGACAUUUUCAUGAACACUUAUUUGUGCAAAUCUCCAUGCAGAAAUGCAUUAUGCAUGUCCAUUUGGUGAAGUUCCCAAGCUUUUGCUGCUACUACUGCUAAGACAGUAUGCACUGUGACCAUUUUAGCAACCGAUACGAAUGUCUCAGUGUAGUUGAUCCUUUCUACUUGAUGAUUAUCAAGUAUAACUAAUCGGGAUUUAAAACGUUCAAUUGUCCCAUCCAAGUGAUACUUUACGCGGUACACCCAUUUGCACCCGAGAGCUUUCUUUCCAGGCGGUAGUCGUUGCAUGGUCCACGUACGAUUUCGCUCAAGAGCUUGAAUCUUAGAUUGCAUUGCUUUUCUCUAGCGAGCAUCUUUCACUGUCUCAUGGAAAUUGAGUGGUUCUUUUUCUGUAGUAAUAGUUGCAAGGAAAUGUCUAUGUGGCAAAGAAAAUUUUUCACAGUUUACAUAAUGCGUGAUAGGAUAGGGUGCACGUGAAAAAUAAGAUUGAGCUGAUGAACAAGUGGAAGGACUCAACUUUUGAAUCGUGUGUAUGACGUAGUCUUGCAACCAAGUGCAUGGAUAUUUGACAUGAUAGCCACGCCCCAGUGGUUCAUUCUCAUCAUGAGCGUUUGGGAUCUGUAUAUCUGGAGGUUUUGGAAACAUAAUAGUAUCUGUUACAACAACUUCCGUAGUGUUAGUACCCCCCUUAUUGUCAAGAAUCUGUUAUGCGGGUGACUUAUUUUGAUUGGCUGCUCUAUUGUCAAUUUGAUUCUCCAGAUCAGCUUCAUCAGUGAUGGAGAUUGAGGAAGUUGAUGCAGUUUUGGUGUGAUGAAAUGGAAACUGGUUUUCAAGGAAAGUAACGUCUCGUGACACUAAGAAUUCAUGGGUCUCAAGAUCGUAGACUUUCCAUCCUUUUUUCCCAUAAGGGUACCCCAUGAAGAGACACCAACGACUGUGACUUGCAAAUUUGUCUUUGUAUUUUGGUUACAUGCAAAACACAAGGACCCAAAGAUACGUAGGUGAGUAUAAGAGAGUGAUUGGGCAUGCAAUACUGCAUAUGGAGUUUUUCCUUUUAAGACUGAGCUUGGAGUACGAUUAAUCAAGUAUCCUACUCUUAACACACAUUCACCCCAAAAUUCAAUGGGUAGACUUCCUUGAAAUUGCAAAGCUCACGCCACAUUGAGGAUAUGUCGAUGCUUUCUUUCGACCCUGCCAUUUUGCUGAGGUGUUCAUAUACAAGAAGUUUGGAAAACUAUCCCAUGCUCAAGAAAACAUUUUUUCAUGCAAAUGAAUACUGUUCCAUUAUCACUUCUCACAGUUUUAACCUUUUUGUUAUAUUGCCUUUCCGCCAUAGCAAAAAAAAAAAUUCAGUGCCCGUGAUACUUCUUUCUUAUCAAUUAACAAAAAAACCCAAACUGCACAUGAGCAAUCAUCGACAAUGGUAAGAAAAUAUGAAGCACCACAAGAAGAAGGAGUUCUAUAAGGUCCCCAUAAAUCACAAUGUAUCAAAUCAAAUGUAUUAGAAGCUUGAUUAUUACUUAAUGGAAAUGUUUCUCUAGUUUGCUUAGCUCUUUGGCAUGUAUCACAAACUUUAUUGUGCGACUCACUGAUUCUAUUCCAACUACCAUUAGAGAUUAUCUGAGUAGUUUGCCAAGAUGGAUGUCCCAAAUGCUUGUGUCAUACUUCUAGUUGAAUUAUCCCUUCAACUCUGCAAGCCUUCACUUUUGGAAUUUCCUGGAAGAAGUAGAGUCCAUCCCUUCGUUCACCCGCUCCAUUCAGCAUCUUCGAAGUGUGGUCAUGUAUCACACAUAGAUUAGCAGUAAACUGGACAUUACAAUUGGAUUCAUCUUAUAAUUGUGAUAUAGAAAUUAAGUUGCAAUCGAACUAAGGCACAUCAAGCACAUUUUCAAGUCUUCAACCACCAGCAAGUCUUAUUGUUCCUUCUUUAGUAGAUGUGGCGGUAUGUCCAUUAGUAAGUCCAACAGGGCACCCAGGCACUUUCCUCACAUCACAUAGGUGUUGCAAGGUUCCUGUCAUGUGAUUAGAUGCCCCACUAUCAAGGAUCCAUGAAUUAAGUUUAGUCUUACCAGUCAUGCUUUCAUUUGGAGUGACCUUCGAAUUGUUUAGUAAUUCUAUCAGAGUUUCCCACUGCUCCUUGCUCAAUCCUGUCAUGCCAGAAUUCUCCACAUCUCCACUAAUGUUGGAUCCCAAGUUCUGUACAGCAUGAGCACGUACUGGACCCUUUUAUGCACGUCCAAUGUUCGAUCCAGUACCUCUAGUGCGAUUCUGACCUCUUCUUUGUCCACCUGCCUUAUCAUCAUUUUUGGGACGGUCACCCUACCAUUCUAGGUAUCCAAUCAGCAAGAAACAAUUUGUUUCAUCAUGACCAGAUUUGUUGCAAUUCGUGUAAACAGAUAUGUUCUUGUUCUCAUGCCCGUUCACCCUUGCGCUUGUUUAAGCAGCCAAGGCCAUGACUUCUGUUCUUUCUUCUUUGCUUCGUGUGAUAGUCCACAAUUUUUUUCCCAUACUAGAAUAAAGUAAUCUUGUUUAAAGAUGGCAUAGGAUCUGAGGCCAAAGUUGGAACAGGUUGUUCCAUAGAGCCCAUCAUUUAGGCCUAUUAAUGUGACCUCGUUUUUCUUCUCUGCAUUUUUCAAAUUUUGCUGCAAAACCACACGUGCAGCCUUUGCAAGUACAUAUCAAAAGUUGUUCAUAGUUGGCCAAAUAAUCCCGUAGAGCCUUCAACUUUUUGUAAUAAGCCACCAUGGACAAACCUCCUUGUUUGCAUUGGGCCAAGUCUGAUUUCAGCUGCUGAAUGCGUGGACCAUUCACAACUGAAAAUCUCUCCUUUAUGUCAUCCCAAAGCUCUUUAGCGGUUUCCAAAUAAGACAUGGUUGUUCGCAGAAAAGGUUCUAUUGUAUUCAAGAUCCAUGACACCAACAUGGCUUGGAUAGUCCACCAAUCCUCCAUCAUAGAGGAUCCUUCUUCAGGUUUCGUUAUGGUUCCGUCAAUAAAACCCCAUUUUCUUCUUGCUCUCAAGGAAGUCUACAUAGCUCGAGCCCAUUCAUCAUAGUUUUCACCCCACAACUGGACUUGUGCAAUCACACUUCCAAGGUUGUCAUUGGAGUUAAGACCGUAUGAUGAUGGCCUUUUCUUCUGAGAUUGGUUGUCUCCUUCCAAGGGUGUGUUGAAAGUCCCACAUCGAAUAAAGAUAGUAUUGAUAUAAACUAUAUAAAUGGGGAGCAAUCCUCACCUUACAAGCCAAUUUUGUAGGGUUGAGUUAAAGCCCAAACCCACUUUUUGACAUGGUAUCAAAGCCUAUCCUAAAUGGAUUCUUAUGUUUGUCAUGCUCUAGACAGGUAGCCUUGAGCGUGAGGGGAGGUGUGGUCAUACCUAGAUAAAGGGGUGUGUUAAAAGUCCCACAUGACGGGUAGUCAUGAGAAAAAUGGGACAUCUUGAAGUCACACAUUGAAUAAAGAUAGUGUCAAGAUAAACUAUAUAAGUGAGGAGUAAUCCUCACCUUACAAGUCGGUUGUGUAGGUUGAGUUAAGCGCAAACCCACUUUCUCACAUUACAUAAUCUGAAACUUUUUAGCAACACCAAAAAAACAUCCUUUCUCCUUCCUUUUUUUUUUUUAAUCUUCACUAGUUCUCUUUGAAAAACAUCCUCUCUAUAUAUAACAAGCCUAGCCAUUGAUGAUCUUCGAAAAAUUCAUAGUCGAACUACUUGUGAUGUUCCUUAGUUUAUUGCAGUCACAAACGUAGGGGAUUGGAGAGAACUAAUUCACAUAUUGUAAAUUAGUAUUAUUCACGAUUUGUUAAGGUGAAGAGUGCUCUCUCGGACAUUUUUGAGAUCCAGAACAAAAACUAAAAAAAAAACCCCUAAACAACGAAAACAUAUUUCAUAAAUAAUUCAUUGACAAAAAAUUUCAUGAAUUUAUAAAUUCAACCAUAAAAAAAUAAUAAACAAAACUCUUAUAUAUUAAAAAGUUCAGCAAAAUUAUGAAGUACAUUAAUUACUUGAAAAAUCUCGUCCUCGGAGCAUUCCUUGGAGCAAAUUCAUUGAUCAAAUCCUCACAAGUGAUACUAUCCAACACCUCAUUCUCGAUUGUCACCAUAGCUAGUCCAUUAAUUAAAAAAAAUUCAAAGUUUUCAAAAGUUGGACCUUGAAAAUGAAAGUCCUAAACCGUCGAUUACCUUGCGCAUGUGUAUAAUUGGCACUGAGGGUGAAAACUGAAAAGCAAGUUCUGUUUCUAUGGUCAUUAAUAAUUUAUUUAUUUUUACCUUAAAAGUUAAAAGUUAUAUCUAAUAGUGAUUUUUUAUUAUUUGACAAUAUAAUUGUUUUCCAAGUCUAAAUUGACUGAGCACAAUCUUAAAACAAAUUUAUAUAUUGUCAUUAAAAAAAAUGAUGACAAUUUGUGUCUUAAUACUUUUGGAAUCAAAUUGCAUAAUGACAUGCCAAUUUUAUUACAGCUAAGCCUUGUACAUCUCAGGUCUCAACAUAUAACGCCUCUACUAGUCUACUUCAAGGGUUUGGGUACAGAAGACAACAUCGAAAAAGCAUGGAAUACAAUUGUAAAUUAGCAAAGAAUUAAUGGGUGAACGAUACCUUGAAUUUUGGACUUUCACUAAACUUGCAUCCAUCCUAUUCACAGGCGAAUAAGUUGAUAGACAAAUGGGAGAAAGACGCAGAUUGUAACAGAAAUUUAAGGCAAGCACAAUACAAUGGAAUCUUUCAAGAGUAUUAUAAACAACCAACUCAAUAGAUAUUUGGUCAGAGUCUGACUACUAUACAGGAGCAAAAAGGCUAUACUUUCGUGUAAUACUCUUAUAUCAAUAUCAAUGAUGGGCCCGUCUAAGAGCUGAGAGAAAGCCAUGGGAUGAUUUAUCUUUGUGAUCAUUGACCUGGUAGGAAAAGAAAAAAUGAAACUGAAAAUUGCUUAACAGGUCCAACUUUUAGUUGGUUUUUAAAUUUCAGUAAUAGUUUACCUCUUUUGCUAUCUGCUGAAGAAUUUCUAUUAUUUCAGAGAAAUUUGGUCUUUGCGUUGGAUCUUGUUGCCAGCACCGCUGAAGAAGUUCAGAAAGUCUUGGGUGCGUAUUUUUGGGAAUUGUAGGCCGCAGGCCCUAAUAGCAAUUUAAGCCACAUGGAAUCAUCAUGCAUAGACAAGAAAUUUGUUUACAAUGAAAUUAUUUGUAAAAAGAAAAGGAAUAGAAACCUUCUGCACCACGCCAACUGCUGCUUGUAAUGGGGUCAGGCAAGAGUAAGGCAGCUGAUUACAAAAAAUAGUAUAUACAAUGAGAUAAGAUUGGUAGGGAAUAAAUGAUAAAGCAGCAAAGCCCACUGCCUGGCAUGAAAGUACUCACUUCUCCAGUUAAAAGCUCCCAAAGAGCUAUUCCAAAACUGAAAACAUCUGCCUUCUGGUCAUAUGGUUUGUGUUCAAUGACCUUCAAGUAAAAUUCAAAUCAAUAGAGAAAAGUGUUAAUGGAUGGAUCGGAUAGAUUUUUUUAAUGAAAUGGAUCGGAUCCAUUAAAUAUUUUUUAAUGGAUUAAUGGAUUAUUUUGAUCUGAUGCAUUAGGAUACGGAUUAGGAUUGAUUCAAUCCAUCUGUCUGCCACCCUUAUUAUUAACAGCUGACUUUUAAAAUAAAAUCAGCAAAGCAAAGCAAAUAUGAUGAUAAUGUAACCACUUUCAAGUCCAAAUAUUAAAGGCAUUUUUUAUGAAGAUUAAAAUAAUAAUGGAACUUAGGAAUAAGGAUCAAAGCACUGAAUGCUUUGUAAGGAUAUAUAUAGCCAAGAACAAAUUAAAAAAAAGAGGCAAGCAUUUCAUCUAACUUUAUUAAUCUUCAUUUUGAAAUUAAAAAAUAGAAGAGAUAGAAUUGAAAUAACAUCAUAAGUUAAACACCUAAACAAUAGAAAUUCAAUAUCAAUAUGACAAAAGAUUAACAUAAAAAAUAUAUAGAUUCAAUACAUCUGACAAAAUAUUAACAUUAACCCAACCCAGUAUAGUUUCACUAGUUUAAAAUUCUGCUUCACUAUGGACAAAGAUAUUUCAAUGGUAACCAAGAACAUUAACUCAAGUGGAUUAAUUUCUCAAGGAUUGAUUGACCUGGAACUGAAUCCCACCUAGGAUGCUUUUCUUACACUUAAGCUCAACUUCCCUUUCACCACACAACCAAAAUAUAUAAAUAAAAACCAUUGUUCACUGUUUUCCCUGUCCAUCAUAUUCCUCACUUUUCAAACAGGCAGAACAUAAAUGUGUACCAUAAACAAAUACUGAUCCUGAAUUAGUAUUGCACCAUGAUCAAUGAUGUCACCAAAAAAAUCAAUCAAGAAGAAACAUUGAACUCCAAGAAAAUCCAUACCUCAGGAGCCAUCCAACGGUAUGUUCCAGUUUCAGCUGUCAUCACUCCAGACUGAGUUUGCACCCUGGCAACCCCAAAAUCAGCAACCUUGACCACCUGUUGAAGAACAAGAUAUUUUAGUGAUCUUUCCUCUCAUGUCUGUGUAUGUAAGCUCAUAUUUUACUCUAUGCUAAAAAGAAGAGUCCAGCAUCACACAAUUACCCAUCUUAAACAUAUUUAUACAAAACUAUAAACUAUAGUGGUUCUCGUGAUUCAAGAUGACAAACAAUUGUCAUUCAUAAAUGAAUAUAGGACCAAAUAUAUGCAGAUGCAGAAAAGUAUGAAUGAGUCAUUGGGGAGAGACAAGCACAAGGCAAGUAGCCUUUUAGAUUCAAGCAUUUGGCUCCUCUAAAGAGAUGUAAUUAUACCCUAGAAGUUGAAGUGCAGUUAUAGCUGUUGAUAUGAAAAACAAUGGUUGAGAUAUGUGCGUGCAUUUUAUCACAAUUUCAACCAUUGAUUUUUUAAUCAAUGACUAUAGCAGUUCUGUAUACUAAAGUGUACACUCCCUUACUUUAAAGGAGUUAAAUCCCAGAUUCAACAUAUCAAACCUUCAACAGGUAAACUAAUCUCUUUCCUUUUGGGGCAAGCAUGAAAGAUUAAGAGGAGUAUCAUGGAAUCUCACGAUAAUGAAGUAGUAAAUUCUAUUAUAAAACCUAAAUAGUAUACACAGCGGAAAAACAUAAACCAAUAACACUGAAAAUGCAACAGGCAGUAUCAAUGUGUGCAUUCAUGGAAUCCUCUUACUUCAUUUUCAUCCAUCAGAAGAUUGGCAGUCUUGAGGUCCCUGUGAAUUAUAUUAUUUUGGUGCAAAUAGUUCAUUCCCUUGGAAACAUCAAUUGCUACUUUUAGCAAAGAUGGAAGCUUAAAUACACCUCUUUGUUUGUGCAGAAAGUCAUAUAAGCUUCCCCUAGACAUAAACUCUGAUAAAGUCAUAAACAAGAGCACAUAAGCAUUAAAAUUGCAUUAUCAGGUGACUGAAUAAGGCACCCAAAUCAUCUUAUAAUUACUUGAUAAAACAUAUAUAGGUAAGCAGGGAUAUUAUACAGAUUCUAAGACAACUACAACUUAAAAAAUGAACUAGCAAUAUGAAUAUAAAAGGAAGGCAUGUGCACAAGGCUUCCAUCAUUAAGGGGUGUGGGGAGGGUCAAAAUGUAUGUAGCCUCCACCAUAAGCAGAGAGGUUGUUUCCACAACUAAAAUCCAUGAUCACCAAGAUACAAUGCAGUAAAAUUAUCAUUAAACCAAGGCUCAGCCUCUAAACAACAAAUUCCAUGAAACAUAAAUAUAUGACAUCUUAAAUUCUCAGGAUUCUUUCUUAUUUACCAGUAACAAUGCAAAGAUUUGGGGGCCUAGUACAUGCGCCAAUGAACUGAACAACAUUCUUGUGUCGAAUCUUCCUGCAACCCAAAGAUAAAUCAUAGUUGGUAAAGGAAUAAUAAUUACUCAGGACUACAAGGAUACCAUAUCACCAACCACUAAUACUCAAACUACGAUAAAAAUACAGUUACACAAAUUAGUCAAGUUGUUAGGAUUGAAAUGUUAUUAUUUUCAGAAGCAUUUGAGGCAGUGAAUAUCUGAAAUUGAGAUACUAUUUUUAGUUAAUAUAUUCCUUUCCAGAAUGAUUUAGAAAAUAAGUCAUCCAGUUUCUCUAAUAAUAAGUUAAAGUCAUGAUUAUAUUUAAGCCAAAAUUCAUGAAUCUUUGAUCAGACAUUUUAACUGUCUAUGAUGCCAAUUUCAGGGAAUUGAAAUCAUAUAACUGAAAUGUGGGUUUUAGAACCAAAACAAUUAAGUUACAGCACGCUUCACUUUAAUCAAGCAGCAGUGUUAGGUAGCACAACUUUGCAUGUGUAUCAACUAUCAAGCUGCCAAGGUUUGUUGGUUUUCAAACUGAGAUAUAAAUAAAUAGGACAGAAAAGAUCUAACCAGAAGUAUAAUGUCUGACCAGUUCAUAUUUUCAAGUCUGGGAAUAGUAAAUCCUCAAUAGAAAAUAAGCCACUCAUAGCACAAUAUAUCAAGAUAUUUAUCAAACAACAUAAAGUCCAUAACACCAUUCCUCCAUUGUGGAAACCAGAUUAUUAUCUAAUACAAUACAGAAUUAAAAAUUAUAAACAGGAAAGAGGAAGCGACAGCAUGAGACAGGAAAGCAUGAGAGAAACAAAUAUCUCAGUAAUUGGAAAUACAAGCUCCGCAAUUACAUUUAAUCAUGCAAACAAACCUCAUGAUAUAAACUUCCUGUGCAAACUCCCUCAGCAUAUCUGUACUUAUGCGCUCAGGCUUAAGAACUUUGAUAGCCACAUCUUGACUACAAUAUGUACCUCUGUACCUAAAGGAUUACAAAGAAAUGCACAGAGAGAGAAUCAACUAAAAGGAUAUGUAGAGUUCAAACAUACAUCAAGCAAAAAUAACUCACAAGUCACCAAAUGACCCAGAGCCGACUUUGUUUUCAUAUUUCAGCUGGUUGGUAUCAAUCUCCCAGACAUCAGCUCCAUCAGAUGGUAUUAGAAUGCAAUGAGGGGAGGGUUCCAUCCUUGCCUGGUAUUGUUCAUUGGUAGCAUAAUGUAUACCCUGAUUUGACAUAUUUUGCUCCUGCAAAGAAAAUAAAAAAGUUAAUAUCAACAAGUGUUUAGCACAAGGAGAAAUGAAAUUCUGUGGUCUGCAUGAAGUGUAUGUGCAAAGAACAAUUUACUUUUAACAGAUGUUGCCAUUACUCAAAUGCAGUCCAAAUUAACAUCAGUUCCUUUCUUAAAAAAAUCCAAACUACAAUAAUCUCAUCUUCCCUGCUUAAUCUUGAAUAGGUGCCAUUAUAUCAAAGUUCAUAGCAAUUAGCAAGAAAAUUAAGACAUUUCCAAAAUAUAUAUAUAUAUAUAUAUAUAUAUAUAUAUAUAUAUAUAUAUAUAUAUAUAACUUAGUAAUUUGAAAUAGUCAUGAGCUCUCUAUCCCAAAAACUUAAGUGUUAAGUGAAGAUUCAUUAAUGGUUUUUAUAUUAUAUCUCUAAUAGAAACAAUUAAAAAGGAGAAUAUACCUUAACCUUGAAAAUUUCCUUUUCCAACACACCUUUCAGCUCCUCAGUUUCCUAAUAGCAAAAAGAAAAUACAAUAGAUACAAAAAGUUUGGAUAUAUAAAUUCGAAAAUACAGUUGGAAAAGCAAAACAACAAUACAAAUAAAACUCAGAUACUUCCUCCGGUCUCGAAUAUAAGCAACAAAAGUUCCUUGUUUUUUGGUCUCAAAUAUCAGCAAAACUUAACAAAGUUCUAGAAGGAAAUAAGAAAUUAAUUAGGCAUACCAUUCAAUAGCAUACCCCAAUAUGUUCUAAAAGUGAAAAAUCGUCAUAUUUAUCUAUUUAUAUCCAUACAACAAGAUUAUUAGAAAUGCCACAGAGACAACAUAAAUAAUCCCAUAUUAUCUACUGAAAUGAAAAGGUAAACAUGCCAUGAAGAGAUGAGAAGUUAAAGGUAUUAUAUAUCUUUUUACAAAUUCAAAAUUGCAAACCAUACUUAUAGCAAGAUAUUGAUCAAGGCAUACAUAAAUAAAGUCUUUCUGUUUCCCAAAACACUUGCUAGUGAUUUUAUGAGGUCAUUGUUUAGCUACUUUUGUCCUACCUCAUUAGGCCAUCCCUCAACAACAAACACAUCCAGAGAAAAUCCAUCAGUAGUGGAAAAUGCAUGAGCUUCUUGAAUAUUCAGUCCCAUCUCACCAAGUAUUGCUGUUAACUGAAAUGCAAAGUAAAGGGUGACAAACAGCCCAUAAUAUAAAAUACAAUUGUUCUAAUCUAUCUUAUAAUUACAGAAUUUAAUUUUAAUCCACUGUUAAUGCAAAAAAAUCUACAUUGUCAUCCAGUAACAUUGCCACAUCAUGUAAUGAAUUUGACACCUCAUGUAGUCUUAACAUUGCAAAAUUCAUUUAAUGAUGUGAUAAUUCAUCAUUAGAUGACAAUGCAAAACUAUUUUACAUUGAUAAUGCAUAAAAAUUAAACUUGCUUAAGAACUCCAGAGAUUUUGAGUUAGCCACAGAAUUUACAGUUUUGAACACAAGUGAAAUUUCCCCUUUUCAAAGUAUAAAAUAGAUUGAUUAAAGUAAUCAUCAACACCCCCCCCCCCCCCCCAACCAAGCCUAAAAAAGAACAAUUAAUGUAAAACACUCCACUUUUGCGGUUCAUAUUAAACAAUAAAUUAUAUAUUUACAGGAGUGUAUUCGUAUUAGAGAUUAAAAAGUUAUGAUUACAGAAAAUGUUAAGAGAUGACAACUGAAAAGAUUAUGAUAUUCAUUUGUGCAUGAUUUACUUAUUGCUUAUACAUUUGUACCUUCAUAAAUUCCCAAUCUAAUCUGUGUAAAAAAAAUACUUGGGCAAAAUGACAACCUAUAGUACUUUCAAAGAAAACACUCAACAUGAAAUUUUAGUUUGACAGCAUUGAUAGCAAUUGGAAAGAAAUUUAUCCAUAGUUGAUACAAAAGACACUAUAAGCAAUAAUUAUUUCCUGCAUAGCAUUGCAAGAAGUGCUCUGACCCAAUUGAUGGCCAAGAAAAGCAAGAGAUCUUUUUAUUAUCAUGUUGAAGGCUGAACAAUAUAGUAGAAAAGAAAAUAUAAUGAGAACUAUGUACAAUAAUAUCAACCAAUAAUUUAGAAGCACCAUUUACAAAAAGCAUUACAAAAUUUUUUAAAAAUAAAGUCAGAAUUAACCACCUGACUAAGGAGUUUAGGCUUGUCAACUGUUGAAAAGGUAAUCUCGUGCAUGGGCCUAAAAUAUAGUAAGUAGAAAGAUUAGCACAAGUUAAAAUUUAAACAUUAAUAUAUUUAUUAACUGCUAUAAACUAAUGGAAACAAGAAUGAAUGCUCCCCCUAGAGAAAUUCAAUAUGCAGGGUCUUUACAAUCUGGAGUGUUGGCAUUCACAACAUUGUCAACACCAACACAACACACAAAUGGAAACCUAUUGACUGAUUCUACAUUUUGUUUUUUCUAUACAUCAUAUGUCAGUGAUGGUCACAUAUUCUCCAACAUCUCUCUCAAAAACUUGGACAAAACUAAAAAACCAAGAGACUUUCACUUGGAAAAUAUUACCUUCAAAGUGAGCGAUAUUAUCCUAGUCUAUAUAUCAACCUCAUCAUAAAAUACAUGUUUCUAGUUGAUCGAUAUAAGACACUCUUUAGCAAUACUAAUUGAAGCUGAAGAGAGCAAGCCCAUUCACAAUAUAUUUACAUGAAGAAUAACAGCCCAAAAUAGUGCAUUUAUUACCGGAAAUAUGGUGUUACACUCAUAGCACUUCCCCCAUCUUCAAUGUUAUUUUUGUUUUUUUGAAGUGCAAGAGCUUCAAGGUUAGAGGAUGAACCAAAUGUAGGUGGUGGAUGAAUUCUGUUUUGCCAAGAGACAGACAUAGAAAUGACAUUAAAAAAUAAAUAAAUGGCACAAAUGAAAACAUAAAAACAACAAAAAGGAUUGUGCAUAUUGAGCAACAGCAAGGAUGGAAAUAAAACUGAUAUGAAAAUACAAGAGCCAUACCCCUGCUUUAAAGAAUAGUUAAGAGAACUUUGUGCAUCUUCUUUCUCAGAAGGAUCUAAAUGUAUGGAAUCAGCAUAAUUUGCACCACCAAAAGGAUAUACCUGCAUUAAGGAUGAAACUGUUAUGAAUUAGUCUAUACGUAGCACUUCUCUAUACUUAAAGUAGGGGCUUAUAAAGUUACUGAUUACAUAUUUCCAAGUUUGAUUUUGAUGUCAAUAACAGCUAGCAGUUAUCAGCAGUGCAGUCAAGGAAAAAACAGUUCCAUGCAUCCUUUAGAACAAAUUUGACGGGAAAACAUUUGGCCUUAGUCAAAACUAGUAAAAUUACAAACAACAGAACUUCAAUUACCUUAUAUUAUUAGUGCUUUAUUUAUGUUUUUUUAACUACCUGUACUAAGCGAACUUGAAAUGCAGGUCGAGAAGCAGGGUCCUCCGCCAACUUAAGCAAUCUCUUAUGAGCUAAAACAUCUUCUGCCCUCUCCACAUUCACAUCCAACGCGUACCUAUGUAGUAGCAAUCAGAGUGACCAACCACGAGACUCGAACAAAAACCACUCUGGCAAAUCCACUUACAAAGGUAAAGUAAAAAAAAAAAAAAAAGGCAAAAAAAAAAAACACUCAGCUAUUUUCUUUCUUCUUCAAUUAUCUUCUCAAUUCUCAUCACAAACUUAAAAAAAACAACACGAAAAAACACUCGAAUUGCAUAAAUCAAAUAAAAAAACACAGACAAUCAGGAAUAUACAAAAACACUAGUCUCAAAUUCCCUGACCAAUCAUUUUCACCACUUUUAAAAAAGUAAGAAUCUAAAUCUAGAGGAAAACAUAAGAAGCGAGGUUAAUUAAUUAACUAAUUAAUUCGGAAGCAUCGUGUGAAAGACCUAGCGGGAAGGCGAUUGAAGUGGAGCCAAAGCUGAUCGUCGAAGCCGGGAACAUGCCCCUCCUCGCAAUCCGAUUCCUGAAUUCGCCGAAGCACCUCAUUGUACACCUCCAGCUUCUGCCGGUGGUGGCGAGGGUGAUGCGCGUGCAAAGAUUGCAUCGCUCUGCUCCCGCAACUCUCAAUGUCAUGCUCGAUCACCAUGAGCGCACGCGACCAGCACCACCACAACUACGAGAGAGAGUGGAUCGUGAAGAAAUGAAGAAGAAGCAAAAGUGAGAGAGAAGAAAAAACACGAAGAAGCGAAAGGGGGGAAAGGGGAAAGAUGAUGGAGAUUCAGUUGACGGAGAACUCUUUUUUGAGUCUCUUUGUUUUUUUUUUAAUCUUUUGCUUGUUUGUUUGGUUGUGUUCUCUUUCCCGGUACUAAUGAGUGUUUUUGCUUCGGCGCUGAGUGUUUGUUCCCAGCUAUCCACGUCAGAGUGGGGCCCGCAUUCAGCCCAAAGUGGGCACACACAGCAAAUUGAAACUUUCUUUAUUGGAUAAUUUUAAUACUUUCUUUUCCGUAUCUGGCCUCCAAUAAUAAAUAAAUAAAUCAAGAUGUUUUUUUAUGAUGAUAUUAAUAUUAGUAUGAAAUUAUUCUUUUCAGAAGUGGUAAUUAAUUAAAAUAUAUAAUUUAUGAAAUAUCGAAAAUGAAGUAAAUACAAAAAUAAACAGCAUCAGGGACCCACGGGGACUCUGUCUAAGGUUUAUUCGGGAAUAUGGGCUUUUUUUUUUGUAAUCCUUAAUCCUUAUCUUCUCAGAUUAAAAAAUGUGGACCUACCAAACCAUAGAAGCUUCUUUUUUGAUCGCACUACUACUACUAUGACUAGGGGUCAUUCUUUUUUUAAGAGCACCACGAUCUGUAAUGAGUAGAAUAAAAAACAAUGAAAAUUAAAUAGUAAAGAAAUAGCCAUGAGAAUCAGAUGUACCUUCCUAAUGAGGGUUUUUCAUUUACUUUAAUGCAUUGUUGUUUGGGGUUGAUUGUGGGAGAAAAAACGAGGUGAGGAAAAAGUGAAAGGGAAAUAAUUUUUUUGUUGCUUGAAAAUGAAAAUGGAGAGACCAGGGAAAAGAGAUAAAUGUUUGGUGCAAGUAAAAAGAAUGGUGGGACACAUGAAAAGUAAAUAAUUUUAUUAUAUAUAUAUAUAUUUGUCCCUAAUAAUAUAUUUAUAUAAUAAAAACAAAAAGGGUAAAUACAUGAUUUUAAUUUUUUGAUGUGUCCCACCAUUUUUUUAAAGGAAAGAUAAUAUAACAGAAAUUAAAACUUAGAACAUUUUAGAUGUGAGACCUUACUUUUGGGGCUUAAAAAUGCUUAAAUAUGACAUUUUGUUUAAAAAUAACCAAAUAUAUUUAGUAUCAUGUAAAAUAACUAUUUACUAUUUAGAUAAGUUUUAUUUGGAGAAAUGUCACUAUAUACUUAAAAGAAUAAUUUUGAAAAUGAUACAAUUAACAAUGCUAUUUUUUUAGGUAAAUUAAUAAACAUGUUUAUUUAGAGUUUAGUAUUUAUGAAAAUAUUUUGAAAUUUUUAAAUGAUAAGAGAAAAUUGUAAGAAUAUAAAUGAAAUUUAUUGGUUGAAUUAUAAUACAAUUUUAAGUAUGUUCACGAUAGAUUAACGUACUUACCUUGACCGUGAGAAUAACAAGUAAAACAUGAUUAAAAAAAAACUUUUUAGAGAAUAAAAAAAUAACUAUAAAUAUGGUUCUAAAAUUUAAAAGCAACAUUAAAAUGUCAAAUAACUUAAUUCGCAUUCUUAAAAAUAACUUUUCGAAGCUUUAAAUAACUUUUCUGCCAAGAAAAAAAACUUUUCGAAGCUUGAAAUAAACACACUUUAAAACCAUUCCUUGUUUAGAAUCAUACUUUAGGAUAUCAUCUUUUAUUACCAUACUUCUUCUCGAAGGAAAAUCCUAUUUUAAAGAUUUUUAUUUAAUUAUUAUAAUUAGACUCUUUGAUUUUUUUAACGAAAUUCUCAUAUAUAUAUUCAUAAAUUUAUGUCCUUUAAGCUCAUUAAUUAUCUGACUAAUCCCCAAUCUUCUUUGUUUACUGUUAUUACAAUAGUAUUUUAUUCAAUUGAUACGAUUUGCAACACCCAAGUGUGCCAAAAACACACGCUUGAUAUGAUGAGAAAAAAAAAAUUACAACCAUUACCAUUAAGGAUGUGCUUGGAUUCAUGUUUAGCAUGCCUCAACUUGAGUUUAAAAGAGUCAAGUAUGAUUUUUUUUUUCAUUGGCCAUGAUGUUUGGCAUUGUGUUAGAAAUAUAAUUUCGAAUUUUAGACGAAAGUCUUACUAAAAUUAGUAGAAGUAGUUUUUGCAUUGACAUUAAAGAAGCAUAAGUCAGAUUUUUGUGUCAUUUCUGUAUAUCCUUAGUCAUAUCAUUUAUUUCAAAUAUACCUUUAGUUAGACUCAGAUUUUUUACAAUUGUACCCACAAAAUGACAAUUAAUUUUAAUUGUAAGUUUCAGAGAAAUAUUAUGUUUAAAACAAUUUUCUAAUAUUAUCCAAACAAAAAAUACGUACGUCUACUUAGAACCAAUUUUAUAAAAGCAUCCUGAUUCAAAUCUAAUUCUACAAAUUACUAUGCAUGCAGCAUGUUUAUUGUUUAGUCGAGUAAAAGAAUAUUCAACGAAUAUGUAGAACUUGGAGCCUUUUUUCUUGCUCACAAGUCACAACAUCAAAGCUCAUGCAACAUUUAGAGUCGCAUAUAGGUUUGAAAUGGCCAAACAUGACUCUACAUACAUGCCAGAAGCCAAAUCAUGAAUAUUAACGAAAAUAUUAAAAAAAAAAACAGAAAAUAAAAGUCAGCUCUGAAUGCAUGUUGAUCAAGUUAAAUGGUUGGCCACCAGAGUUAAUUUACUGCUCAACUAUGAAGCUAUAUCAAAGAGGGAGAGAAGUGAAGAACCAUGUUUGGCAGCAUAGUUGUCGCUCAGUUUGUGAAUAGUGAGAUAGGACAAAUUUAAACACUAUAAAUAUAGUUUUCACACAUUUUUAAUGUUAUAAUUUAUAUAUUUAUAAAUAUUUUCAAAUAAUGUUCUUAUUACUAUUUUCAGUUACAACACCAUAUUAAAGCAAAUACAAAACAUGGAACAAAGUUUUUUUUUGAGGAGAAAUAUAUGGAACAAAGUUACAACGCCCUAAAUUUUAAUUCUUAAUGAAAACAGUUUGUUUAUUGUCAUUAUUUCCAAACUUACUACACAAUUAUAUAUGAAUAUCUACACAAAGAUUGGAACGUAAUUUGGAAAUCCAAUUUCACAUCUGGUUUUUUGAAUAAUUUCAAAUAUAAAAUUUGUAAACUGAACCUAUUUUAAAUUUAUCAGAAUUGAAUCGAAAUCAAAAUUAUAAACUACAAAUUUAAUUAUUGUUUUUUUUUUCACAAAUAUUUUCAUACAAGCUAAUUCUAUUUGUGACACUAUCAAACACUAAAUAUAAAUACUUCUCUUAAUAAAGAUUCAAACUUUUAUCAGACUAAUCUCUAUACCUACCUAGACUCAAUUUCCAUCGACACCAUAAUAAUAUUCCAUCGUCCAACCAUAUCUUGAGUGAAAGGAUUGGGAUGAAAGGAAGAAAAAAAUACUAACAAACAAAUGAAGUAUAAAUAAAAACUAGGGAUUUUUUUUAUUUAAUCUAUAACAAUAUUGCACAUGACCUAUAGGAUGAUGUGUAAGCAUUUAACUUAAAGAUUCAGGUGCAUGAGGGGCAUGGUCCCCUAAUGUGAUUUGGAAGAAAAAAAUAUUUUGUGAAGAUAUCGUUGAUGAAAACGAAAAGAAAAGAAAAACGUGGCUUAUAUCUAUUUAAAGUGUUUAUACCGAAUCAAAAUGUUUUUUUUUUUCAAUUGACCUAUUUUUAAUUCCACCCCAACAAACAUUCAAGAAUGUUGUCCUUAGUUGUUGAUUAUAUUAUAACUGUCGAGUCUUGGUUGACUAAAACUAUACUUAUCCGAUUGCAGUUGUUUUCUUCUAAAACACGGUUUAAGAUUAACUAGUGCAAUGAGCUAUUUUGAGGGUGUUGACGCAAAUUGAUACAAUUUUUUAUAGGCAAUUUUGAUACGGGUUCAAAAGCAAAAAAUUAAUAUGAUUAUAUAUUUUAUUUUCAUCUAUGAUUAAUGUGAUUGUGAUCUUAUCUGAAAGGUCCAUAACCAAUAUCUAUAAUUUAAAUAUUGGAGUGGCAACUUUAACAAAAGAAAAAAAUGGAAGGCAUGCAUCAUGUGAUGGCCAUCUGGGUCCUAGUCUCACCGACCAACAAUUUCAGCACCAACAAGCUUACACUAUGAAUUCGAGCAAUACUCUGAAAGUUAUGCCCACUUCGGGGAACAGUAUCGUAGCUUAAUAGGAACCCCUCUAUUUUCUUUUUAAUAAAUAUAGGUAAUUUUUUUUAUAUAUGGCACUGUUAAUGAUUUUAAGCAUAUUUACUUAACCACUUUGAUCCCUUCAAAAAAUUUGGUCAAGAUCCCGUACUGUCUGACAAUAGAUUAAUUUUAGGUGUUGUUUCCUGUAUUUUCCGUUGCAUUUUAGAAAGUUAAUCCCAGAAUGCAAAGCAGAAAGUUUUAGCCUAAAGUUUAUUUCGUCAUAACAUCAAAACCUUUGACAAAAACUAGAUAAUGAUUUGAAGGGAAAAGAUUUCACUACAAGAAUGUUCUCUAUUGUAAUGAGUUUAUUACAAUGAGUCACGAGUUUAUCUAUAAUAUAAACGAAUUAUAAUAGAUAUAACCGUUGAUAAAUUACAUACAAUUUUUUCCGUCAAUAAUAUCAACACAAUACAAGGGGUCUAUAAUUUGGAAUAAGCACAAAUUUUGUAUUUGCUUACAAUUUGGCUCACACCUCUGGUUCAUAUUGGCAAAAACUACAAUACUACUAUUUUAUAGGACGAGUCCCAAAAUUUAGCCUUUAACACUAACAAAUUAAAAAUCUAAUUCUCAUUUCCCAUUGGGCUCAAGAACCAUACUGAAACCAGGCCUUUGCUUCCUGCAACCCCUGCACCUCCUUUAACUUUAUUGAUGACCCAUUUCUUCCUGGCUUCCAGCGUUAAACUCCCCCCGUUUUCAUUUCAGAACGGAAAAAGACUGGUUUUAUAAACAAAACAAGGGUAUUCUUUUAUGAAACUUGGUUGUAUUAUUGGACAAAAAUGCUUUCGUAUUUUAAUUAGAUGAAAUGAGAGGAUCCAAAUUCGAAGUAAUAUUGAAAUAAUAACAAAAGAGAAUCAAUCCUAAAAUACCGGUUUUGUGAAUUACUAAACUCUGUAUAAUAUUAAGCUUACAAAUAGUAAAUUAUUUGCGGCUUAUUUAAAAGAGAAAAUAUAUAGUCGAUAUGCUCGAUAACUUUUAGCAAAUGAAAAACGAGACUAAUAUUAAUUUAAUUAACUUCAAAAUAAAUGCACUUUUAAUUUUAUUUUAACUGCUUCCAAUAUUGCGUUUUAAUUAUAUAUUGAUAUUGGUUUUUAUUGAGAAAAAAAAAACAGAGAGGGCAAUUCGUAAAGAGAGUAAGAUAUAGUUAAUAAUAAAAAUUAUAAUAGAUAGCAUGCUCCAGAAUGUUUUUCUUUUUCAAUUAACUGAUUAUAAAAAUAUAGUUUUUUUUACAGCAUAAAUAUAGAAUUUUUGGAAAGUAGUGUUUGUUAGAGUACUUACUAAUAGGAAGAUAUGUAAAGGGAUUAAUAAGAUAUAAUAUUACUCAUAAUUAAGAUAAUAGAUAUUUUACUAUAAUUUGUAUGAUUAUUUUUUUUAAUCAGUACUCUAAAAAAACCGUACCAUUAGUAUUAUAUAAAAGUAAAAGAAGUGAACAAUUUAUUUAUUUAUUUAUUUAUCAAUAAAAACUACAACAUAUAUGACUUUUAGCAAUAUUUUUUUUUCUAACACUUAAUAAAAAUAUUGCUAAAAAUGUUUGAUCACAUUAAAAAAUGUUGUCAAAUUAUAAAUAAAUAUUAUUAAUAUAUUUUUAUAAUAUUUUAUCAAAUGUUAUAUAUAAUCUAUAUUAUUAAAGCUUAAAAAUAUCAUAAAAAGACUUUAAUAUAAAUUAUAUACAACAUUUAAUAAAUAUUAUAGAAAUAUAUUAAUAAUAUCCAUUUAUAAUUUUAGGAUAUUUUUUACAUGUCGUCAAAAUUUUUUUUAAUAAUAUUUUUAUUAAGUGUUAAAUAAAAAGUAUGAUUAAAUAUCAUAUUUGUAACAGUGAAAGAAGGAGACAAAAAAGGGAUGAAGUAACAACGAACACUUCCUAAGAGUCCUUCGUAAAGAAAAUAUUAGUAAAUGUAAAAAAAAAAAAAAAAAAAGCAUUCAAUGAUUUAGGAGCAUAAUAUUAAAUGAACAAAAAAGCAUUCAAUGUUUUAGAAACAUAAAAGCUGGCACUUAUGAAACGUUACUUAUCAAAAAAAGAGUAGUCCUACUCAUUUUAUCUUUUUUUCAUAAAUUUAUUUCUCCUGGAUUUUUAAAAUAAUUUUUAGACAUUAAUUAUAUUUUUUCUUAUAUAUCCUUUUUUUCUUUAAAUCUUAAUAAAAAUAAUUAAGUGAAUAGAGAAAUAAAAAAAUUAUAAUUUUGAAAUGAUAAUAUAAAUAAUGGAUAGAUUUAAUGUGAUUAAUUAAAUUAAUUAUUUUUUUAAAGGGUGUGAAUUAAUUGAAAUAUAUUAUAAUUAAGAAUAAUAAAAAGUCUACUACUAAACAGUAAACACAGAAAGAACCAAAAACGACAAAUGAUAAACAAGUUACACCCUACAUUCAUGUCUUCAUACGUCAUGUGCAAAUAAAAAAAAAUACAGGAACUAAAAAUAUUGAGCAUCCAUAAUCCAUUCAUAGAAAUCGAAUGGUGACUAGAGCGGUUGAGUGGUAUACGUGGAAAUUGGAAAAAUGCUUCAAGCUUACCUCUGCGUUUGGUGUGCUCAUUCCAGGCGCAACCUAAGAAAAGAUGAAAUAGCAGUGAGAUAUUGACACGACUCAAUCAAAGAUUCAAAAACGAAAACCACAAAUGUUGUGAUAUGGUUGUUUUGUGUCUGAGUGAACCGAGCCAAUAGCACAAUGGCUACUUCAUGUUAUAAAACGUGUAUGUUUUGAAGAGGGUUGGGUGCUGAAAAUGAUAUUUAAAAGCCCCGACUACCAAAGCAUUUAAGUCACUCCAUCCCCACUUUCUGUUUCCCUUUCUUCACACGCCACCGCAUUUAGUGGUGUUUGAGAUUGAUUUUAAUUUUAGAAUUGAUUUUAUAUGUUUGAUUUAAUGUUAAAGAAAAUUUUUUAAUUAAUGUUGAUUUAAAAUAAAUUUGAAUAAUUUCUAUGUUAGAUUCAAAAUUUUAUACUAAAUUUUAUUUAUUACUUAAUUUUUUAAUAAAAUAUUUAAUCACUUCAAAAUUAAUUUUAAUAAAAUAUUCAAACAUAAAUCAAAAUUUUUAAUUUUAUAAAAUCAAAUUCAUUCAAAAUUAAUUUUGAUAAUGUCCCCAAAUACUCACUUAGUCUCCCACCUCUAAUGUCUAUUUUAACCCUUCCUUUCAUCUCUUGUAUGUAUUGUGUGGGGGUACAACACAACUAUCUCCUGAGAAUUCAAUUGACCUGGCAGAGUAUUUAUAUAACACAGUUGAACUCGAAUUGAGGCAAAUCUAAUUCUUAGACGAGUUAGGACACAAAUAGAAACUAUCAAUGUGAUUUAAUAACAAGUUGAUGCAUCCCAAUACGGAAUAACUAAAAAAUAAAAAAUUAAAUAGUAAGAAAAGAUAGGGAAAAAAAAGAUGAAUAGAAAAACUUAUUAUAAAUAAUUUCUUGUGAAGAUGAAAAUUACACGAUCCAAACUCUUGAAUUGAAUAUUGUUUUGGUAUUGCUUCUAAGUAAUAUCACAUUUAUAAUGAAUUGAUCAAAAAAACAUUGAUGUAUAGUUUUCCUUUUUCUUUUUCUUUUUGCCGGAGAUGUAAGGAAAUAGAGAGAGAGGGGAGAAAGGAAUGGGGUUGGGGUUGGGAAUGAUCGUGAUACUGGGAGGAUGUGUUGCAGAAACCAGAAACAUUAAAUGAGGGAAUCUCCGUCUGGCAACAUUAAUAGGCAAGGUAGUACUGAUGAGACUGCUUCAAAACUGUUACAACCCUCCUACUUAGUAUUUCUUUUGAGGAUUAGGAUCCUCUUCCUCUCUCUGUAUGUACCCUUAAUUCUCCCAGGGGUUAAAUAAGUCUUUUAAAUUACUUCUCAUUUACUAAGACAAGAAAAAAUAGCAAUUAACAGUAGUAUUGAGUUAAUGAAUAUCAUUGGAUGAAAUUAAAGUGAUGAAGGGUAUAGUAUCCUAGGGAGGGGGUUGACUUGCAGUGGAGAAAAAUCAAUUUCGCGGCUUUAUUUAUGAAAGCCUUAUUGAUGUUUGCUCGAUAUGGCAAAACAGUGUCUCUCUGUUACAACUGGGAAUCUUGUUUUAUGGAUGCCAUUUUCUACUGUGUUUCUGGGUAGCUUCAUUAUCUAUUUAUGACAACAAUUAAUACUCAUAUGACCUUUUAUUUCUCAGAUGGAAUCUCAAUUUGCUGCCAAAUUUAUGAGACCACCACGCUUUCACAUUACUGCAUAUCUGCUUUUGGUAUCUUCUCUCUACAAUAUCAAAUGAUAAUCUAACCUCAAUAAUUAAAUUAAAAUUGUUAUUUAUCUAUUUCAUUAGUAUAAUUUUUAGGUAAAUGCUGACCAGAGUCUAUUAAGGUACUUACUAAAUAAUCGAAAGAAGAAUUUUUUUUUAUUAUUAUUGAAAUACUCGUCAUUUUCCUAUGAUUUUUAUAAUAAAUAAUAUUUUAUUUUUACUUUUUUAACUAAUGCUCUAUGGACACACUGGUUAUCCACCCUAAUUUUUAAUACUAUUCGUAUAUUUUUAAUGUCAUUUAAACAAUUACUGCUAUCAUUGAAUUUUUAACUAAUGUUCUCGUAAGACAUUGGUAAACAAGUUUUUCUUGUAUGCCUACUGUAUAUGAUCUAAAAGUAUUAGAUAUAUUUUGUUAAAUAUUUUAAAUUGUUAAAAAAAUUAAAUUACCUUCUAUAUUUUUAAUAAAAUAUUUUAUUCUUGUUUUUUUAUUGUGUGUUUAUGGGUAUCCUGUUGAAAAGUCCAAAUUCAAAUUAAGAAAUAAACAUUAAAUAUAUCCUUUUGAAUUCUUUUAGUUAGUUAAUAAAAAUAAGUUUUAAAUGAUUAUUAUAUUUUCAAUAACAAAAAAUACUAGUAUUUUACUAAUAAUCUUUUUUGUUCUCCUAACCGAGUGCAAAGGACAAAAUGUUAAAACUAUAUUGAACUUCAGUGUUGAUUUAAAAUAAAUUUUUUAUUAUAUUUAAAAUAUUAAAUUUUAAUAAAUAAUUUAUUUCCAAUAAUAAAAUGUUUUUCAUUUUCCUUAAAAUCAAAACUAUAGACCAAUAUUUACAAAACCAUAGAAAAUUGAUAUAUGCAUGCUAAAAAAGUAUCCAUUUAGUAUAUACUGGUACUUUAAAGAGUAUUUAAUACAAACAACUAAUAUUUUAAUUUUUAAAAUAAAUAUUAAAUAUUUUAAACUUUUAAUACAAUAAAUACAUUUUUUUUCUAAUAGAACUGAAUGCACUAUUAUAAAUGAAUGGCCAAAGUAUUUAAUACAAACCAUUAAAUAUUUUCAAUUAUUAAAAAUAAAUAUUUCAGUAAAUAGUUUUUUUUUUAAUUUUAAUACAAUAAAUACAUUUUUAAUCCUUAUAAUUUAAUGUUGUUUUACUUUUCGUACUUACAAAAUUAGUUACUUUUUUCCUUAUAAACUAUAUUAUUUUAUUUUUAAUCUUUAAAAUAUUUUAGAUAAUAUUUUAAACAGUAAAAAAAUAUUUAAAAUAGUAUAAGGACAAAAAUAAAUUAUAAUAACUAAAAACAACAAAAAAUAAUUUUGCAAGAACGAAGAGUAAAAAAUACUAAAUUCCAAUGAAAAAAAUAUAUUUAAGCUUUAUUUUUAUAACUAUCAUUUGCUUACAUACGAGAAACUUAUGAAAUCAUACUCUCGUAAAAGAAAAUAAUACUAAUUACAUUAUAAUUUUUUUUCUCUUUAAUUAAUGUCUUAAGAUUAAGAAAUUAAAAUGAGAAAAUAUUUAUUAAAUAAAUUUUAAGAGAACAAAAAAAAGUAUGAGCAACAUAAACCAAUAAAAGCCUUUUUACUUGAUAUUUUCUAAACCAAGUAUACUUAGACUACUGUUUAACAUUUAUAAAAAUAAAAUUAUCCCUAAGAAUCAAAUACUUGAAAAUUUACCACAACUCAUAGAUUUGCUCAACCAACCACAUUAUACCCGUUGCUAUAAAUGAAUAGUGAAUUAAUAUAGACUUGCUAUUAAUAUUUUCAAUUCACUUUAAAAACAAUUGUUCAAAGUUAGUAAUUAACUUGUUUAUUUUCAUACUCGUUAGAAUUUGAUAGUCAAUAUUAUGGGUUGCUUUGUCAUUUUCAAUUGGCACAGAAUUAACUAAAAGGAAUGUAUAAUUGGUAUUUUCAAUUCAUUUUAAAAUAUCAUGUGCUUAUAACAAUAAUCAGACCUUCUAAUAUUUAUUACUAAUUCAACGUAGAAAGCACUGCAUCAUUUAAAAUAUAUAAAAAAAACACUUUAUACGAAGAAAUAAAAAGUCUUGAUUAGAACUAAUUAUUUGAGAUAAAAAAGUACAUAUAUUACAUUUUUAAGGUAUUUCACAAAAAAAAAAAUCUCGGAGGGGGGGGGGGAUGAAUUUGUCAGAUAGAACGCAGUGGAAAAAAUAGAUAAAAUCUACUAUUUAAUUUAACACAUAAUAUACAAUAAUAAAGAGAAAAUAGAUGGAAGAAAAAAUGUAUAAUAAUAAUAACAUCAAAAAUUAGUAUUCUUGUAUGUUUUCUUUAAUUAGUAUUCUCAUGUAUUUUCUUUAUUUCUCAUAUAUAUUUUGGUGGAGAAUGUGUAAGUACACAUGUAAACAUUUCUUAAGUAUCUGAGUCCGAAAUCCACUCACCUAUACUAAUUUCAUUAUAUAAAAAAAAAAAAAAAGAGUUCGUAAGUUUUUGAUUUAAAUUGUUUUCAAAUAGACACAAGAGAAAUUAAGUUACCAUAUUUAGAAUGUUACUACUUAAUUAUAACAGAAUAGAUGCUAAGCGUCACGGGUAUUCAAAGUUUGCUCACGUAUACAGUGUUUAGCAUAAAACUACCAACCCAACCUUUUCGAAAAUGAUAGAGUAGACGCGGAGUGCAACAGCAUGUCUAUUUAUCCAAUAUACGUAAGAACCUUAACCAUGAAGAUAAAAUUAAGGUUUGUUUUGACCUCCAAACACAACUAGGAAGUGCAACUUCAAUUCACACGUAUAUAAAUAACUUGAUUGCCAGUGUUAGCUGCUGAAGAUAAUUUGAAAGAUAUAGUCUCAAUUUUGAUACAUAAAAAGAAAAUCUCACAAGAUCAAAGCGACACGAGUUACCAUCAUAGGCUUCAUUUAGUGUCCAAGGUUCAAGUCUCCGAAGGAAGAAGUGUCUUUACUUAACAUUGGACCGUGUUUCAAACAGGAUUAUCUUCGCAUAAGGAUUGUGAAGAAACAAAAAAAGAACAUGUUUGAUUAAUUAUAUGGUUUAAACAUAUAUAGUAGCUUCUUUCAUUUGGAUACGUAGAACACAUAAUAGUGGUGGAGGCUUAAUCAGUGGUUUGAUUAUUAUAGAGUUUAGUGGUGGUGGAGGCUCUGUUCAUUCAGAACGACAAAGGAUGCUUUGCCAUGAUAAAGGAGCAUAAGUCCAGAUUCUAUAUUGUUAGAAGAUGUAUACUGAUGCUAAUUUGUUGGCACAAAUACAAAAUUAUUGAGUUACUAGAGAGGAGGCGACAAUUAGCUUUGUUCUUUAUAAGGAAGAAGGUCUCGAAUUUGAGACAUCAAAAGAAUUUUAUUCUUUUAAAUGAGUUCAUUUCACUCGAAUUAGAAUAAUAACAAGAAGUUCAAAAUUACUUUCAAAUACUAAGAUCUUAGAUCAAAGAAAUUGAAGAGGAGUUGGUAUUAUGCGAUGCCGUUUCUAAAAACCGUCUUUCACAACUAGGACAAAAAAAUAGGAAGUUUAAAUUUGUUAAGUAUGACCAUAUCCUACUAACAAGAUUCAUAUACUAACACGUUGUAAUUUGUGACAAAAAUCAAACAUAACUUUUAAUUAAAAAAAUUCUCAGAUGUCCACUGUUUACAGCAUGUUUAUUGCUUCGUUUAGUUACAAAAUACAUUCGUCUUUUUAGAAACUAUUAAACUUUUUACACAUAAGAUGGCAUUUUUUAUACCUUUCAGGCGUGUGCCCAAACAUAUGCUUAGUCAACCACUAAGUAUAAAAUAAUUUUAUUUUUUAAUAAUCAACGGGGUCAAAAGCUUGUACAAAGAGUUUUCCAUCUCUUGCUUACUUUUUAUUAACUAUAUAAUUAUUUCUGAUUCUUUUUAGUUUUUUUUAAACCUUUUUAUUAAAUGUAAAAAACACGUUUCAAGAAUCACUAAACGUAUGAAUCAACUAACGUAAAAUUAUUUUAACUUAAUUAGAGGUUUCAAAUUCAAGUCUUAAAUAUACAAUUAUGAUAAAUAUUUGAAGAAAAAAAUUUGAUAUUUAUAAUAGUCCUACCUCAAUUCAAAUAUGAUUGUUCCCCUGUAGACCAGACAUGUGAUUUAAAAAAAAAACACGGCUCACGACUUUUUUUUGGUGAAGUUUUUUUAUAUUUUAUUAAUUAUAAUAUAACACGGUUCAAGAUGCAAAAUCAAAUGGAACAACUUUUAUUGUCCCAUUUGCCGUCAAUAAAACACCUUAGCAUAUAAAAUUAUUAAGAGAGAGGUCCAAUUUAAUUUCAUGUGUAUUUUACUAUACUUUUUAGCUAACACUAUUUUAGUACAUGCAUUAUUAGAGCUUUGAAGAGGAUGAACAAAAGAUAAGAGUCUUAUUUUGAUAGAGGGGGAAUUCGACACAUAUAUAUCUAUGGCUCCAUUUAAUCUUUUUGAAAUGGAUAAUGGUACUUUAAUUAAUGUUGAAAUAGAUAAAAAAAAUUGAUUGUGCUAGAAUGCAUUAUUAAAUUGAAUUUUAAUAUUUUUAUUUCUCUUUAGAGCCAAUUGGAAGAAUUUAAGCAAGUACAAUUGGUGUCUGUCCAACAAUUUCACUUAUCGCGUGUUACUAAAAGUUCCCACUCUGGGAGAUUAAAAAAAACAUGGAUAAUUUAAUAGGAUUUCUGCAAAACAGGUGAUUAUAUAAAGUGAUAUCUGAAUUAAAAAAAAAAAUAGCAAUUUUAGUACUCGUGAAGCUGUUGGCAGUGGUUGUGCACUUGUGCUUUGUCACAUGUUGAAAAAUCAGGCCAUGCAUACGAAUGAUUGUCAUGGUAUCAAGAAUUUUCAGUUACCAUCUUUCUGCUCAAAUAUAAUUAACUGUGAUGCUUUUAUGAUCUCAUCUUGCCUCUGCAUUUGUUAUCUGCUUUACUAGUGGAGAUGUAGUUUCUAACUGCAGAUUUGGUUGAUCCGUUUACAUUUUGUUAUUUUGACUGACUUUGGUAACUUUUCGGAUAUCACUUGGAUUAAGAAAGAAGUUAAGAUCUUCAACAUUAUAUUAAGAGCAGGAAUUAAGAUAUAAUAAGGAUAUUUAGAAUCAUGAAACUAUGAUUAUAGUUGUUCUUUUGGUUCUUUUCGUUUAAAGUUAUGCCCUGUGAAUCACCACUUGCAGUUCAUAUAAAAAUACUUAUGAUUAAUUACGCCUGAGCACUAGGAGUAGGAUGAAACUAUCGCAUUAAAAUGGCAUUUUGAUAAUUUGAUCUGCAUCAGACUUCAAGUAAAACACCAAUUACAAGCUAUACAAUGAACGAGUUGAUGUGAAACCUUUGGAAUCCAUGUGAAGGACCCAAACGAUUUUGUAGUUACUGUGAGCAUAUUUAACAUAGAAAACGCCAUAUUAGUCAAAUGGUCAGUAAACGAUAGCAAUAUAUAACUUGGCACUGCCAAGUUUACAUAAAUCAUCUUUCUGUUAUUAUAUUCUAUUAUUAGAAUUUACAAGGCAGAUCAUUCGCAUUCCAUGGUCUGCUUAAAAAAUGUUAUACUCAUCCAUUAGAGAGACAAGGUCAUAUUAAGUAUCCAUUUAAUUUAAAGGUUGGUAGUAUUGACUAUUGAUUUUGAACUGUUAAAUAUAAUUGAUACGUAUAACUAAAUUAACUUGUACAUAUUUAUAUUAUGUGACUUUAAAACAAACAUGAGCUAAUUCUCAUUGAUGAUCAUUUCCAGGAUUGCAUACAUACAAGAUCAUCGUCGUCGUUUCUGAGUAUUGGUAGAAGCACGACAAUCUUCUACAAGGUUUAAGACAUUCAAAUUCAUUUGGUGUACACAAAGUGGGGUCGACGACUAUAAUACACAGCUGUACAACACUUAAUUUUGCUAGUUUCCUUCAUUUCUGUAACUUAUUCCCCAAUAUACUCCUGAUGAAAAAUUAUCAGGAAUAAGAUACCCAUAAUACCCCUAUAUUCUUCAGAACUGACCCUGUCAUCACAUGAAAAAUUUCAACAAACAAUUAGACAGUCAAACUACUGUAGAGACAUGAUUUUUAAAAAAAAAAAAUUUAAACAUCAAAUUCCAAAUGUUGAAAUAGUCGGAUAUACCUAACAAGCUAAUUAGAGCUCAUGGGCUGAUUUACGAAGAUUAGCAAGUUUGUCUCUCCAUAUAGCUGCAAAAGGCAACCAACAAACUAGGAUGAUUCCACAACACUACCCCGUGUUAGGCAUUCCAUAACACAACCAACAUAUAUAUGCAAUCAUAUAUAAAAGAUGUUUUACCUGCAUCUUUAAAUCUUUCCUGUUUGAUAGCUAUACGCAUAUUAUGCAUCAUACUUAGUUCUUGAGCUACCAAAUCUGGACCAUCUACAGCACUGUAGACAACAUAUAAAGUUUAGACUCAUGAUAAAUAAGAAUGUAAAGGAAGGGGUUCGAUCUUGCAGUGACUUGUACACAGAAUCUAUGAUGGCAUAGAUGACACAUUUUACACAAUAAGUCAAUAACUAUGCAAUACCUGUCAAGCAAUACAUCAUAAAUAGUCUUUUUAUUACACACUCCGCCCAUUCCAUAACCAAUUCUGAUAGCAUCUGUGAAAACAAUUUCUUUACUUACAUAUAUUGCAGCCUGCACAAAUCAACUUUAAAAUCAUACAAGUGGAUUUGUCUCAUAUCAUUGUACAAAAUGCAUUUAACUAGGAGAGUAGGAGUUUUACAUAUGAAUAUAUGUGCUAUAGUUUUUGUUGAUUCUUGUUCAAAACAUAAAUUUUUAUAACAAAUAUUGGCAGUGUAACCAUAGAACUCAUACCUUGCAUCUAUUUGCAACAUUAAUGGCAUCUGAGGGACGGGCAUCCACACUGAUAAGAUCAGUUUUCCCUGGCUGAAGGAAUUAUUAACUUUUAUGAGCACUUCUAUGAAUGGAAGAGCUUAAGAUAGAGGUGUUUUUAUCAUUUAUGAAUUGAAAAGUUUUCAAAACCUGACUAAGGUAUAAUCUGGCAAAGUAAGUGCUGACUACUCUCUCUGUAAUUCUCACCAUUAUCACCUGAAAGGGUAAAAUGAAGGAAAUACUUUUGAAUUAUUUAUUUGACAUUCAAUUUGUAUUUGAAGGAAUUAGACCAAACAUGAUAGAAUGAUAAUGCUACAUUGUUAUUGUUUUAGAACUUCUGCACAAGGAAGACUGAUCAGAGAGAUUGAUAACUGAAAUUUGCUCUUAAGAGGACUCAAAUAACUUUAUCCAAAUAGUACUUCUUUCCUUUUUAGUAUGAUUAUUGUCAAACAAAAACACAAAGAUGCAAGAGGAGGUAUUGAUGAUAUGAUCUAACCCAAUAAUCUGUGCUAAGGGAUAAAAGAUGCAAUUAGACUAAAAAUAAAGGCCAUUUAGCUGGCGCAGAAAAUCCUAUGUAGUAUUCUAUGAUUUGGUGGAAGAUUAGAGAUGCAGAAUACUAUUUGUUGCUGCCAUUUGCAUAAUAUUACUCACUACACCUAUGAUGCAAACAUCAGAAUAAACAAAAAUUAAAAGAAAAGAAGCAUCAAUUGAUAAAACAUCCAUAGGCAUCAAUGUAACGUGGGAAAUGCUUAGCUUCAUACUUCAUGGUCUAGUCUUCCAACUAGGUUUUCCACAAACUGGUACUGGUCAGGACAUUCCUGCAAUAUCACCAUUUUCUAAGUACCGAUCACAGCGAAAAAAACAAAGUGAACAACCAUUCGGAUACAGGCUGAAAAAUACCACACUUUCAUGUUCAGAUUCCGCAUCCAUAAGUUUCUCAAUAGCAAUCUGCCCUGCACCAACAAAGAAACAAAGUUAAUAAAACCACAAUUUCCAAAAAAUUCAGGGAAAUACAAACUAAAGACUGGCACAUACCUACAACAAUGGGCAGAAUAUAGUCUCCAUCGCAAGAAAUCCUGAGAAAAAUCGUAGGAUUCUUGAAACGCUGUAAGAAGCCAUGUCUCAAUAAAGUAUUAUCCGUUCUGGACAAGGGAAUCGACGGCGUAGACGAUUUCCAUUGAAACUCCGGUUGAAAUCUAUGCUUCCACAUAUGAUAGUGGGAGAACGUUUCUGCGCUAGUUUUAAGUAAAUAAAAUUUCAGGCAUGGAUCAUACACAUGGAUAGACCUAAACGAUCAAAACAACCAGAGUUACUACAACACACUACCACUGUAAUACGAUUAAUCUGUUAUCGUCAUAACAAACUUUUCUUUCUUUCUUUUUUUUUUUUUGAGGAAAAGGAAAAACACGAAGAAGCAUUGUAUUUAACAUCUUAUGUUAUAUAAACGCGAUCGAGACGUGACGUGAGAGUGAGUAACCUGAGAGAAGGAGAGAAGCUUCGAGAUAAUCGUUGUUGUUGUCGUGAGAGUCGCCGGAGCUGGAUCUACGGCGGGAGGAAUCGCAGGAAAUGAGGAUGGAUCUGCGGCGGCGGGACCGGAGCGGUGAGAGGUGGAGCGGCGAGAAGUCGACGGCGACGGAGCUCGGAACGGAGCGGGCGGUGGAGGCGGCAUUCGUGUGAUCCGCUGCGGCGGAGCCCACGCCGGAUACGGUGCGGACGCAGAAACGUGAACCCAGCAUUUUGAAUCGAAACAACGACGUAGAAUGCUGAGAAGGGAAGAGAGAGAGAGAGAGCGGAGAGGGUUGUUGAGAUUGAAUGCGAUGAGGAGAGGGCACAGGACAGGUUUGUAAUUGUGGGAGUGGAGUUGAUGUUAUUAUUGUAAUUGUUUAGUUAAUUGGUUAAUUUAAUUAAACUAAACCUCAUUUUAAUUGUGCCUGCUUUAUGCUCUUGAUGAUGAUGGAUGGAAUGCAUCAUGCAUGAGAUGAGAUUCUUAUCGUGGCGUUGCUAGCUAUGCUUUGCUUUUAAGUUUUAUCACACUCAUUCAUGGACCAACAUUGUCGGUUUCGGGCUGCAAAUAGUAAUAAAGAAAUAAAAGAUAAAUAAAUAAAACAAUUGUCCUCGUUGUUGAUGUAGAUAAGAAGUUGAAAUUGAGUCAUUUUUCUAUGGAAUCGAAAUUUAUAAAAAUUUAUAUAUUUUAUUCAAUUAAUUGAGAUACACUCCUUAAAAUUAGAAUUGAGAUUUAGUUGUUAGUAAGAUUUAGUUGUUAGCACUGAUAUGUAUCUUUUUCGUAAUCUAAUUAAAAUUUGGCUGUUAUAAUCAUAAAAAAAUAGCUGUUAUAAAAUUGGAUCUGAUCGUAUCAAGUGUCUUUUUGUCAACAAAGAUAUUUUGACUCUGCUGAUGCUGAUAUUUUUCUCUGUUUCUUUCCACAAGUUAGCGAACACUUUGGAGAACGAAAUAUCUUGUUUUUCUUCCAAUUAAAUUAAAUAUGAAUUGAGGCAAAAAAAAAAAAAUUACACUUCUUUGUAGUUAUCAUAUUUUGAAUAACAAAUCUUAAUAUUUGAAAAGAAUCAUAUUAAGUACUGAAAAUAUUAUACUGCUACUUAUAUUAAACCUUUAAUUUAAUACGGAUUUAUCUUUAAUGUCGAGAAUAUGCCGCAGUGCAUAUUAUAUACUACUAGUACUUUUUUAUGACAGAUAUAUACUUGUACUUAUUCAUAGCAAAAAUAAAUAAAUAUUUAUAUUAAAUAACACUUUAAUUUAGUACAGGUUUAUGUUUAAUGCCAAGAAUAUGCCGAGUACAUAUUAUCUAUGAAGCACCGACACCGAUACAGACACCAGACACGACACGGAUAUGAACACAUGGACACCUAUAAUAUCCAAAAUAUAGAACGUAAUACGGGUGUCGUGUCGGUGUCGGAGACUGACACGCGUGUCAAACACCAAACACGACAAAGGGCUGAAGUGUCCGUGCUUCAUAGCAUACUAUACCUGAUAUAUAUUUAAUUAGCCAAGCUAUUUUCUUCGCCAAAUCAGGUAAGUUUCCUGGGAACACAAUUGAUGCUUGAUAUAAGAAAAAACAUGUCUAGGGUUCCAAGAAUAGAUACGAUUUCAAUUUCACUGGCUAUGGUCGAGGUAUCGUAGCUGGCAUUCAGAUUUUAAAUAACUUUUCAACAAAAAAGGUGGGGAGGGGAUGUCAAUUUUCCUUCUUUUCAUGAAAACAUUCUUAUGGAGAAUAUAUAUAUCCAUUAUUUCCAACAAAUUACUUUAGUUUAUAUCUUUUCAAAACUUUUUUUUAGACAGCUUUUCACGCCCACAUAAUUAAUGGAUAAAUAUUAUCCCAUGUUCAUUUUUACACUUCAUUCAAAUCCUAAUUAUUCAUCCUUUUUAUAUGGAACCUAUUGAUCCGAUUGGAUUUUAAAAUUUAAUAAAUAAAAAAUUUAAAAGUUGACAAGAUUUUCUUUCUUUAUCUCUUAAUCCUUACAUGCACAAAUUUAAUUAACGAAAUUUAAGUUUUAAUAUCAAUUAGAUUGAUAAUUUAUUCGGGUGAUACUUUUUUAAUAUUUUACUAUUUUUUUGUUUAUUUAAAUUUAUAUAUUUUUUUAGGUUAAAUUACUCAUUUGGUCUCAAUAAUUUCAUGAUUCAUACUUUUAAAUUCCUAUAGUUUGAAAGUGAUUUUUUUAGUUCUUAUGAUUUAUAUUUUAAUUCUCUUUUAAUCUCUAUAGUUUAAAAGUGAUCUUUUUAAUCUUUAUAAUUUGUAUUUUAAUUCUCUUUUAGUUCCUUGAAAGUGAUUUUUUUAGUUCCUAUAAUUUGUAUUUUAAUUACCUUUUAGUCCUUAUUACAAAAAAAAUAUAUAAAAAUAAUUAACCACAAAUUAGUUAUUAAUUAUCAACUAUUUUUUAACAAAUUAUCUUACGAUAAAUUAGUUAUGAAUACUAAUAUUUUUAUAAUUAAUUAUAAUUGAUAAUAUUACUUAUAUUUUAAUGAUAAGGAUUAAAAAAGAAUUAAAAUAUAAAAUAUAGGAACUAAAAAGACCACUUUCAAAUUAUAAAGACUAAAAAAAUUAAAAUAUAAAUUAUAAGAACUAAAAAAAUCACUUUUAAACUACAAAGACUAAAAGAAAAUUAAAAUAUAAACUAUAUAACUAAAACAAUCAUUUUAAAACUAUAAAAACUAAAAAGUAUAAAUAAUAAAACUAUACGGACAAAAUGAGUAAUUAAACUUAUUUCUUAAUUCUUUCUCGAGUGAACCUAUCAAACUAACUUAAAACAGGUUGGAUUAAUAUUUUAUAAUUUAAACACGUUUUAAAAAUAUGGUAAAGUGAAUCCAAAUCUUUUUAGCAGGAUAUCAAGUGUAUGUUGACCCACUUUGACAUCUCAUCUUGUUUAAAAUUCGGUCUUGUAAGACUUACGAUAAUGACUCUAUAUAACAUACUGCCACGUCAGUGUGUUGCUUUCAUGGCUAAAACAAUGCUACCACAAUUAAACAACAAGUCAGCCGUAACUGAAGAAUGUAGAGAUUCUCUUAAUCUCUUCAACCUGUGUCUUUGCUAAUUCCACGUAUAAAUUUCCAUGUAGUCACUCGUAAUUAGCCAUGAAAUGAUGAAAUGGUACCACCCCUAAAAUUUAUUGGAGCUUUUUUCCAGUUCAAAAAAAUUAAAUGGCAUUGUUGUUUUACACUUUUACUGCAAAACCAAUGACAGCAUUCUUGGGGUGACCUUUUUUAGACUUUAUAUUGCACGGGUUGUGCAGUGUUCUAGUAUUGUUAAUUAUAAGCAUCGAUCCCAAAUAAAUAUUGCAUUGCCUUCACCAUGAUGCUUAAAACAACCUUACUACAAUUUUACAUAUACAAACUUUAGAACUAACCCUCAAUAAGAGUCUCACCAGGGACAUAAUCAAUUGUUCUUAUGUAAGCAAGUGAAUAAAGCAAAUUAUGUUUCACAACGUGUCAAGGUCAACAACCAAUUCAGAAUUCAGAAAACCAUUUUAAAGAAACGUAAUGCUUCAUUAUUAUAAGUAGUUAAGUACACGUAGUCUAACUCAUUAAUAGAAGUCUAUAAUAGAAUACUCAAUAUGACAAUCCACAAAACCAAUCGUUGAUUUUCUGGCAAAAAACCAUCAUCGAAUGAUUGCAGAGGCAGAGAAUAUGACCGAAAGCUUCCUAAAACAAUUAAACCCAACCAACCCACGCAUCAACAGCUCUAAAAUCUAAUGUGAAACAAAGAAAGCCAGCAGGGUGAGUAAACAAAUAAAACAGUUUAAUUUUCAUACACUAUCGAUGUAAAGAUUUUCAUUGCCAUAAUGAAAUAUGAUUGGAUGAUAAUAUAAUUUUUUUUUAAUUAGUGUUAGUGCAUUUAAAUUAAAUUCAUAAAAAAUGUCAAUGACAGAGGUACAAGUUUCUGUUACAUUUAGUUUCACAGACAGAAUGAAGAAUGACUUCAACAAAGACAACUUGAAAGAAAUGUUCCUGCCAUUUCAUAAACAUGAAAUUAAAUGUAAGCAUCAUACAGAACAAAUAUGAAUAUGAUGCAACUUCCAUCCAUGACCUACUUCUUUUGUGGAAUUGAUGAUCCUUACCCAUUUCUUGUUAUUAUUUUAACAAUUACAAACUGGGUAGUUACACAAUAGUUAGGCACAGAUAAUUACUAUUUACUACCAUCCACAUCGACACAAACAAAACUAGUGCUUAGGAUAAUAUUGUGUUUGUGUAUGAAGCAUCUUUACACUAUCGACCUCAUUAUACAGUAUGUUUAAUAUUUUUUCUUCUAUUUUCAUCCCCUUAUAAUAGACAGCGACACAAGUACAAAGGUCAUACUACAAAGUACCCAUCAAAAAUUCUUACUCGGUCGAUUUACACUGCCAGUAGGGUUUCCAAAAGUGCAUGUCAAACUCCCUGGCCAUAGAAUUCAACGACAAUUGACCUACAAUAAAACCCAGUGUAUCACAGAAAUGAUUCAAUGCACCAACCAAAAACAACAUUAAAAAAACAUCCAUAACAGCAUGCUGGGAAUGAAAACAAUAUACUUACUGCUGUUGGUGUCAGUUGAAAAUUUGAAGAACACAAAUGGAAAACUAAUCUCUGCACCUCUGGUGUAAUGUGACUGCCUCCUGAAGUCACAACACUAAGUGUUAAUCUUGAGCAACUGAUUUACACAUUUGGUUCCCACAACUCAAUAAUCAAUUAGAGAGCAAUAAUGGGGACACUACUGAUUAAAAUCCUUCUUACUUGAUGAGCAUGAGAAGACAUAUAGGUUUAACCAAGGAUAAAAAUGGAGAAAUUAAUUCUUUUCCCAAUCUAAGAUAGAUCACCAUAAGGGGUUAAAAAUAAAUAUAUUUGAAAUGAGAAGGACACUAAAUCACAUCUGACAUGGAUAAAGAAACCACAUCCCUUGUUCUGCUCUUGGUACAACAGGAACGAUACAGCUACAUUUCCAAAUGUCUGGGAACUAGAGACAACACCAUUUGUCAAAGACACCCUUGAGGCUGCUUUAACAACUUGAUUAGCACAUACGUUUGGAAACUUUGACCAGAGUAAAGACAAAGGUCAAGUGGAGUUAAACCAUCCUGACACAAACAGCAGAGAAAUUGCAAUUUAAAAAUCAAAAUCAGCAUAAAAUAAAGGGCCAGCAUUAACCUGAUAGACAAAGAAAUUGAACACUCAACCACUAUUCUCAGAUUUCUCUCAUUUAACAAGUAACAGCUGAAAUAUUUGAAGAUGCAAGUAAUGUAUGUAACAAGUAACAACUGACAACAAGUUGCAUGCAGUUCAGGACAUGGAGGAAAUUUAGCAAAAAUUAGAAAUUCCUCAAUUACAGCAGUAACAAAAUCAAUCAUACCUUAUCCUACUGAGGUUGGCCACUUAACACAUCACGCUCAAUCAAAAACCAAAUUAUCAAUAAAACCAUUAUUCCAUCAUGUCAUUAAGAUUUGACAAAACUUCAUGUCAGCUUGAUUCAGGCAUGGGACUAGCUAUGUAAAGUUUAGCAAGCAAACAUUAGAUUAGGAAAGUUCAACAAUUCUUAAAUUACUUUUGAAAAUUUUUCUUCAACAACUAAUAAUUUUUUAAUGACUUUAGAAAGGUUUCCCUGGUUUACAGGCCAAUCUAAAAGUAUCUCAAUUUCUAAAUAGAGAAUCAGGGACAUCAAAAUGACCUUUCAUUCAAAUCACCUAACUAGUUUAUAUGACAGAGUCAAAUGGUCUAAAUAGCAAUGACAGCUGAUAUUCUAUGAAUGAUCCAGUUAUAGCAUCUAUAUUCAGGUAAUAUUAUGCACAAAGUCAAGGUUCUUUCAAAUUUAUAUAUUAAUGCAGGCGAUCAACAGAUAAUUACCUUGUUUCUUAAUGUCUUAUCAGCACCUUUAAGCAGCAGAAGCCUAACUAAAUUUGGUCUGAGUUUGAACAGCAAGAUUUAAUGGUGUCCAGCCAUCCUGAAACAGAGAAAACAAAUUUAUAUUCUCAAAAGGCACUGCAAAAGAUUACAAGGUACAUAUGUUAAAUAUGAGAACAAUUAACCAAUAACCAUACAUUGUCUUGAAGAUUUAUCUCUACAAUAUACAAUAAGAGUAAUUCAAUUGUCUCAGUAGAAGCUGUUUGUACAGCAUAGUGCAUCAAGGUGGCCCCCUCCUAUUUCCAGACGUAAACAACAAAUUAGAUGCAUAAAAAUAACAGCAACAAGCAAUGAAUGAAGCCUAUGAUAAUAAUAUGUUGUCAUAUUAAGAUGGAAUGAUAACAGUUACAAUUUCUCAACGGGGGCAGGGAGAGCACAAAAUAUCACUUAAGAAAAUUAGCAUGUAGAGGCUCAUAUAUGCAACUAUGGUAAUUAAGUAACUUUUUACUCACUUUGUCCCGUACAAACGCAUUAGCUGAGUUUUUUAGGAGAAAAUUGGUUAUGACCUGCUUUUUGCCAAUCGCUUUGUGAAGGGCAGUCAAACCAUCCUGGAAACAUAGUAAAUCACUAGUUUAAAUCAAUGACUCCAUGCAUUUUAUUCUCCCAUUAAAAGUUAGAAUUUAUAUACCUUAUCCACCGAAUUGAUAACAGCAUUAUGCUUCAACAAAGAAUCUAAAAGGUAAAGUUCUCCACAUGCAGCAACAGUGUGCUGAGGAAGCCAUUUACCCUGAAAAUAAUAUCAGUAUUAGCCAAAAAAAAUUACAUUAGUCACCAAACACCCUCUAAGGAGGUGAAACAGAACCCUUUUCCCUCCCUACACCUUUACCCUGGUUCUGACAGAAAGGAAAAUGCAACAUCCCAAUAACAUUUUCUAGUCCCAAUUACCUAAUCCAAACAAGACCAACAAGUGACAACACAACAUCAACAACUACUGAGAUUGCUCAACAACAUCAUCGGUGGAACAAAUGUAACAAAGCCAUCCCAAUGAAGAAGAACUAGAGAACUUUUCUUUCCAAUAUAACAAACAUAACGAUGAUGAAGUAUAAGUCAUUGUAAUUUUAACUUACGAGAGAAACUCGUUUCAUUUUUUUUUCCUCUUAUUGUUUUCUCCUAGAAGUACUUACGAAGAAGAUUUCCCAAACAAGAGCAAAAUCAUUUACUCAGUAAAAAAAAAGGGUGAAAAUAGACAUUGACCUUUAUGAGUGGUCUUAGAACUAGGGUUAUAGCUCCAACUAUGAAAAACUGCAUGACAUCCUCCAAACCCUUCCCGUGAAGAAACCCUCUGGGAUCCUUAGGCUCUACACGCUCGCCAUUGAAGUCAGGUUCUGGAAGCUUCGCUUUGACGUGAAACGUAGAAGGGUUCUUGAGAACCAGAGGAUUGAUCUGUCUCAAUUUACAUCCUUGUAGGGACUCAACCCUCUUCCAUUUCCCUUCUUCUCAAGCUCGAUUUUCUUUGCAUCUCUUAAGGGAAGCAACCCUCUUCUCUUCUUCUUAUUAUUCUUGCGCCUCUCGUUAAUGGUGAUUUUGGUCUCUGACUGAACUUCUCUCGUAUGGGUUUGGGUUUUGCGGAGAAUUUGAGGGGAGAGAAGAGUCAGUGAGGUUUAGGAUAGAGAAAGGGAACAUAGUGGCUGCAAAUACUAACGUUCAAACUUCAAAGCCAGUAUUUGGUUUCCCUGUUUCUAGUUAUCAGACAAUGUCUCUACUCUGCAACAAAGCCCCAGCCUAAAGUUAUAUACUAAUAUAACUAGUACGAUACCCGUGAGAGAAAUGAAAUAAAGAAUAUAAUGGAUAUUUAAGAUUUAAAAAGGAAGAUUGGGGUGUACUUAUUAAAAAGGGGUGCAAGUAAUUUCCAGUGUACAUUGUUUUAUUAUAUAGAUAGAAAUAGAUAGUAGAAGUAGAUGUGCGUGGAUAGCAAAAUUCCUAUCCAACAAAAUCAUAGUAAUACUAUGGAAAAAAAUAAUUUGAUUUUUACUUUUAUUAUAAAAAAAUAAUUGAUUUUUUUCACCAUAAAUUAUUCUAAACACACUAACUGUUUAUAUAUUUUUUUAUCAGUAGAGAAUUACCAGACAAAAAGUAAAAAAGAAAAACACUUAAUUCCUAGAAUAGGAGACACCCCAAGCAUCUGCCAACACGAGAUGUCUCAACUAAGAUGGACAUUGUUGUAAGAACACCAUGGAGUGAAUUCAUAUUUAAGUAUUUAAUUAUAACUUAGUACUCAAUAAUGAUAGUUUAAUAAUAAUAAAUAAUAAUUAAUGGAAUUUUGAACCUACACUAUCGAAUUAAAAGUUUAAAUUAAAAUAAUGGCAUUGACUUGAAUUUCAGAAAAAUAAAUUUGGCAAGAUAAAGAUAUUCGAGGAUAUUUUUUUUAUCUUGGAAAUAUUGGUUUAAAUAAAUGCAUUGGAAAAUGUAAUUUUGCAUAAAAGAAAUUUUGGAUAAAAAAUAUACAAAGGUUGCAUGAGAUGCUUAUGUAAUAUUAAAGUAACCACAACUCUAUCAACAUUGGUUAGUUUAAGUAAUUGGAACUUGAAUUUUUUAAGUAUAUGAUUAGGAGUCUGAAUUCUAACUAAUACGUAUGAAGAAAUCAUUGAGUUUAAAAAUCUCAGUGACCAAUCGAGGUACUCCUUUAUAAUCACUUAGAAUAUUACCCCAAAACAAUUGUCUUUCUUGUCUUCUAGAUAAUUGUUGAGACUUGUUGAAAUUUCGUUAACAAUUUCUCAAGAAUUGUUGAAUUGGAAACUUUCAUUUUUUUCUCUCUCUUCUUUGUUGGCGGAAGCUAAGGGUUGUUAUUAUUUUUUUGUUUUUCUUCUAAGAAUGAUAGUUCUUUAUUAUUUUGGUAUUUAGCUACUAAUUUUUAUUAGGACAUUUUUAUUCAUUCAUCAAACUUUUUUUUUCUUUUUUAUGAAAAAGACAUCCAAAUUUGCCCACAAUUUUUUUUUUGACAAACAAUUUUGUCCACCAUUUAACAUGUAUUGGUCUAGCCAAAUAAUGAAGAUCUAUUUCAUUGGUAAGUGCCACUUAAUCAUAGCCCCAUGACAUAAUCUAAGUUAUUCCUUGACUAGCCAUAAACCAUAUGAAUUGGUAUCCUUGAAAAAAGUGAUUUUUUUUCUUUAAAAUAUUGAUAUUUGUCUUUAACUUGCAUUAGUAAUGUAGUGGAUCCAAAAAUGUAAAACUACUUCAUGCUUGAUACAUUGUACUUCAUGCAUCUACCUCAACCCACCACUACGUCAGCCAUAAUAGGUUACAUGAGUGAUACAUUGUACAUGUAAUUCAAUUUUUUUAAAAAAAUGGCAUGUCAUUUUUGUUACUUUUUCAUAUGGCUGGUUACUUAACCAACCAGUCACCAAUCGAACUGGUCAAUCCAGUCCAUUUUUUUAACCAUUGGCUUUUUGUUGAUUUGCCCAAGGCAUAUUCUUAGUAAAAACCAGUAAAAGCAAUUUCAUGGGAAAAUAGUUGACACUUGAUAGAGAAAAGAAAAGCCAUGCCCGGAGUUCAAGAAAGACGCAAUUUAAAAAUGGCAGACCAUUUUUCUUUCUUUUCAUGAAAAUAUUCCUAUUUUCCUUCCUAUCACAUUUAAAAUAUACAUUUUAAUUUUAAUAUAGUACAAUACCGUAGUUGUCCCAAAAUUUCCAUGUGACCAAGGGAUGCUAAUUGUCAUGCAAAAUUUGGCAACGGUUAAUCUUCAUUUGUUGGUCCAAAUCUUUCAGAAGUCGUAUUGUUUCUUAGCCCCGUCUGUCAUACUGAUACAUGACUAAGACGUCUUUGAGGCUGCUUAAACAACUUGAUUAGCUCAUAUGUUCUGGCACUUUGACCAUUGUAAAGGCAAAGGUCAAGAGGAGUUAAACCAUCCUGAGAUAAACAACAGAGAAAUUUCAAUUUAAAAAUCAAUGUAAAGGAAAUGUCAAGCAUUAAGCAGCUAAUAAGACAUGCGCUCAAAAGAGUGUGUUAGAGAAUAUCUUAUUAGCAUUUCUUAUUCGACAAUCACUUUUAAAAACUUAUCAACAAAUAAUGACUUAGGGAAUUUUCUCUGAUUGAAGGGAAAAUCUCUGUAAAUAUCUCAAUUUCAAAAUUGAGAAUCAAGGUAUGGAUAUCACAAUUGCCUUUCAUACAAAUCACCCAACUAGUACUCCCUCUGAACUCAUAUAUAAACAGAAAAGUUGUCUUGUAUACACAUCUAACUAAUGUUGUCAUAUUUAAUGAUAUCAUUCCUAAAACACCCUUCAUUUAAUUCUAAUUUUAUUUACAAUGACUCUUUUAUUCAUGAUAACAAGUCAUUUUAGAAAUAACUUUAUUUUUUACUUGAGAUUAGAAAAAUUAAAUGAAGUCACUAACUUUCUUAAUUAACAUCAAAUUAGUUAUUUUUGCUUAUACGAGUCCAGAGGAAGUAACUACAUAUGGCAGAGGCAGACCUUCUAAAUACCAAUCACAGCUGAUAAUUGAACCAAUGAUCCAUUUUAAGCAUCUGCAUUCAGCUAAACUAUGCAAGACACUGAGGUUCCUUCACAUUGAUAGAUUAAAGAAAAAAAUCCAUAGGAAAACUACCUCAUUUUUUAAUGUCUUAUCAGCACCUUUGAUUAGCAAAAGCCUCACUAAAUCUGUCCUCUGAGCUUGAACAGCAAGAUGUAAUGGUGUCCAGCCAUACUAAGACAGAGAAAAUUAAUUGUGUUCUCAAACAGCUCACCAUAAAUGAAUAAAAGGUAGAUAAACUAACCAAGAGAAAAUUUAAUCAUACAUUGUCCUGGAGAUUUAUAUCCACAUUAUACAAUAAGAGUAUUUUAAUUGUCUGGGUAGAAGCUGUUAGUACAGCAUAGUGCAUCAAUGUGGCUCCCUCCUGUUUCCAGAACAUAAACAACAAAAUAGAUGCAUAAACUUUUCAGCAGCAGGCAACUAAGGCUUAUGAUAACAAUAAGCUGUUAGAUUAAGAUGAAAUGACAACAGUGACAAUUUUUCAAUGGGGGCAGGAAGAGCUUAAAAAUCAGUAAGUAAAGAGUCACAUAUGCAACUAUAUCGGGACAACCCAACCAUUUAGUAGUUUUUUACUCACAUUAUCCUGUACAAAGGGAUUAGCUGAGUUUCUCAGGAGAUAAUUGAUUAUGGCCUGCUUUUUUCCAAUUGUUGCUCUGUGAAGGGCAGUCAAACCAUCCUGGAAACAAAGUAAAUCAGUAAAGUAAAUAGAGAAGUCAUGCAUUUCAAUCUCCUUAUGAAAAGUUAGAAUUGAAAUACCUUAUCCACAGCAUUGAUAUCAACAUUAUGCUUCAACAGAGAAUCUAAAAGGUGAAAUUCUCCACAAGCAGCGAGAGUGUGCAGGGGAAGCCAUUUAUCCUGAAAAUAAUAUUAGUAUCAGCCAUCAAAAAAUAAUUGAGAAUAUUCAAGGCUACAAGUAAGUGAAUCAGAACCCGUUUCCCUCCCUACACCUUAAUCAUCAUUCUCACACACGCACACAAAAAUGCAACAAGGUGUCCAUGAACUGAGUAUCCAGUCUAGUAAAACUGACAACAUCAGUAUCUACUGGGAAUAUGGGACUACUCAAACAACAUCAUUGGUGGAACAAAAAUUCACAAUCAUGGCAAACCAGAGAGUUUUUCUUUUCCAACAAUAAUAAGCAUACAACAAUGGUAAAAUAUCAGUCAUUAUCCUACAUAUAACACUUACUGAAGUAGCAGCUGCCAAGUCUGGUAUCCUCUUAUUCAACAAAACCUUCUCCUCCUUAUUAAACAACUUCCGGCGACCUAUUCACGCAGGCACGGAAGAAUUAGAACAGCCAUCCCAACACUUUAAAAGUCCAUAUACACGCAACAAGACGAACACAACAAUCAGUGAAUUAAAUUAUUCAUUUCUUCAAAAUGUAAUUCCUCAGUCCACAUUGCCAUCCAUCAACUAGCAUAGUAUGAAGUACUAAUAGUAACCUAAUCAGUAAGUUAGUUCAUGUUUCAAAGAAAAAGUCCAAAAGGGCAUAAGAAAAUGGAUAUACCUCCAGGGGUUUUAGCAGUAGGGUCAUAGUUGUCACUAUUGAAAAACUCAGUGACAUCCUCCAAACCCCUCCCAUAAACAGCCCACCUAGGGUUCUUAGGCGCAACACGUUCACCACCAUCCAAUUCAGCUUCAGCCUCAAACUUUUCUCCGCGAUUCAAUUGAGGUUCAGGGACAUUUUCGUCCACCGGAAAACUAGAAGAGUAAUCGAGAAGCUUCAUCUGCGCCAAUUUGGCUUCCUUAUAAGCCUUGUAGUCAUCCAAAUUCAUAUCCCUAAGGGGAAUCAAGCCUCUUCUCUUCUUUUCAACCUUGCUGUUGAACUCCACUUCCCGCGCAAUCUUCCGCAUCUCCCUCUUCGUAAUGUUUAUCUCCGCCUGAACCUCUCGCCACUUGUCCGGGACCAAAUUCUCGCCCAAUGUCUCCUCCACUUUUUUCCUCCAACUGGGCCUGGGCUUGGGCUUGGGCUUAUCGACGGUAAGAUUGUCGGGAUUGUGGUGGUGGUUAUGGAAAAGCGGUUCGUCGAAAACGCCGUCCUCGAACACGACGCAGUCGCCGAUGACGUGGUCUUCGGAAUCGUCGUAUUGCGGCGUUGGGUGCAGCGAUGGCGAGAUAGAGCGGAGGUUCCAGUUUCUGGGGAAUUGUAGAGUUUGUGAAAGUUGGAGGUUGCGGGAAGUAAAAAAGGGGAGUGGAAAGAGGAAAGUGUGAGGUUGAGGAUUCAGCGCAACGGUGGAAACAUGGAACAUGGUGGCUGCUGCUCCUAACACUCGGUGACCUCAAGUCUGUCUCUUUUAUUGCUCAUAAUAAUAUUUGAUAAAUUGCACAUUUUAUAUCCAUGUGCCUAAUUCAAACUACAUUUUGAAUGGUGAGUGUUUAUAUUAACGCUCCCCUUAUGUUAAUCGCAGUAUAGCAUAACAUAAAGAAAACAUUGUGUUAUCUUGAGACACUAUGAUUGAAAAUUUUGAAUUUAAACUCAUAUGAUUUAUAUUUAAAUGUUUUUAUUAUAAAAUUAAAUUAAGAAUAUUUUUUUAUCUAAUGAAAAAAUAACUCAGUUGCUUAACUCAUAAUUAAUUUUAAUUUUUUAUUCAAGGUAAAAUUAAAUAUUAAAAUUAAUUAUGAACUCAAAAUUAAUUAUUUAAGGUAAAAUUAAAGACACACUUAAAUAUUAAACUCUGACAAUACCUUUAAGAGAUAAGGUUAUAUGAAAAUGAUAUCACUCCUUGUUAGUGGAUUCUACUUUGUAUUUUGAAUGACUAAUAACAUGUGUUUAAUUUUGCAUCAAGAGACAUAAUUGACUAUUUUCUAAGUUACAAUAAAAGUUACCAAUUUUAAAUGUUCAUGCUUUUUACUUGUUUGACUUGAUUUUUGUGUUACGAAUGGAUCUCAAGCACACAUUUAGCAAUUUAAUAGAAUUGAUUUAGUGAUAAGAUAUUUGAGUAAUUCGUAUGAAUUUUCAAGUUCAAUAUGUUAGCAAAAUAUUAUGUGGCUCUUGUUUGUGUUUGAUUUGGUUACUUUAUUAUUACAUUUAAUUGCUUGAUAAUGAGUAGUUAUAAAAUAAUAAAAUAUGCUAUUACAAUAGUUAUAAUAACAUUUAACUGUUCUUAGCAGAGGAACUAACGAGAGACUUUAUGAGAUGAUAAUAAGGAGGAGUCCCUAAUCCUUACUAUAAAUAAUCCUGUGAUAUUUUAUUGAUUAACACACUAUAGAAAAAUCUAAAAGAUUAAAAGAUCUAUCUCUUUUUCUAAACACGGCAUUACUCUAUAUUUUAACUGUGAAAGAUAAUGUAGAAUUGAACUCUUUUUCUAAACACGGCAUUACUCUAUAUUUUAACUGUGAAAGAUAAUGUAGAAUUGAACUUAGCAGCAAUGGUUAUAUGAUAUAUGCUUAUGCUGUUUUUUUACACAGAUAUGCUUACACUUAUUUAAUAAUAUUAUUUAUAUUAUAAACUGAGGUUUUAAAUUCUCUUACACAAUAUUCGUAGUCGUCGCCACAAAAGACUUUCAACCUAUUUCCGGUUAGAGUAUAGAUGAUAUGCAUGAGUAAAACCAAUGAUAGUAUCUUCUACAUUCUUUGGUUAUUUUGAUGUGAAUUUUAUGUAGGAAUGUAUUAUUUAUUAGAAUUAGAAUUCAAACACAAUUCUCAGUUAAUGACUAUCUUGAUUUAGAAGUAGAACUCACUAAAAUAUUGUUUUCAAAUUUUAGCUAAUAUUAGGUUAUCUUUACAAGUAUAAAAUUAUAUAUAUUUCAUGAUUUCACAUAAAAAUCUGUUAAAUAUUAGAUUAAUAAGCACAUUUAUAUUUAAAAAGAUUCAAUAAUUUAAAGUAAUUUAAAAAUUAAACUUAAAAUAAAUUAUCCAAACUUGGGCAAUCUUUUGUUUCCACGCCUACCCCCCUUGCAAUAAGAUGGAAACGUAUAGAACUGAAGGAAAUGAACUGUAAUUUACUCAAAAUUGCGACUUUUUAUUUAUUAGUACGAAGAAACGAACUAAAAAAAGAUCAGAGACAAAGUGGAACUCUACCGAGUACUGAUACGAGGUCUUGUAGAACAAUUUGACCAAUAAAUUAUGAAUUGUAUAAACUAGUUAAAUACCGAACAAAUAUAAGUGUACAAAUUAAAGCAUAAGUAGUGCAGACUAUUUCCAAAACAUGGAUACAAACUUUAGUCACGAUACCAUAAUAGAUAAUUUUUUCAUUACCAUCUUCAAACUUAAAAGACAUCACCUAGAUCCACGAGCAUACCUCCUAUCUGGGCUACCAUAUGGAGAAUAAGGAAGUGACCUGGACCUGUCCCUCCUAGAUCUUCCACCAUAAGGUGGGGGUGAGUGCCUCGGUGAAUAAUCUCUACCACCUCGAUAUGGUGGUGAGUGCCUUGGAGACCUUCCACGGUCACCACGAUAUCCAUAAUCAUCAUGACCAGAUCCACCUCCUCGAUACCUUCCAUGGUCACCACGAUGCCCUUGAGACAAACAGAUGGAGUUCAGUAAAAAAAUUUAUAAAACAAACACUUAAAAGAUUAGAUUCACCAUUCAACAGGUCUCAAACUUACCAUAGUCUCUAGUACUUUUAAGGCCAAGAUAGUGUCCAGGUGUAGGAGUUCUUGGCCGCUUUCUUCGUGACUGAAAUAAAAUAGACGCUCACAAUCCAUGGGGAAUUUAUUUGACAAAAACAAACUGCAUAAAUCAUUCAAGUACCACUGGAAGCAAAACAGAUUGAAUCUCAUGAUAUCCUUCUUGCCUUACUAAAUUGUAUUAACACUGACAUAUUAUAUUUAAGGGUGUCCUUUAAAAGAAAGUUUUAUCAACAUAAACAACCUAGCAUAUGAAAAAAGAAAAAAGUUGUAUCCACACACGAUUAAUGCUAGGCAUGAGAUACCAUAAAAGCCUGAUUAGAAAGUUGUUGAUAAUGUCCGUUGAUUAGUUGAGUUGAAAGUGAAUGCUGAGGUUGUAAAGUUGUUGGACAAUAUAGUUGCUAUGUUUAGUUGAUCAGAAGCAUUUGAUUAGCUGUUUAAGCUUGCCAUUGAUCAAGCUGUAUCACUAAAGUUGACAUGGAUGAACUGAUCAUCUUUGAUUGCUGCCAAAAUAGUUGAUGCAAUGUAUUCUGAAUAUGACCACAAAACCUUCAAGUUAAGAUGAAAGAAAAGCAUGAUUGUUUUUAGUAACUACUAGUAAAGUGAAGAACAUGUUACCCGCUCAACAGUAAUAUAGCGACCCUCUAAAACUGAUUGAUUGAGAUAUUUGAUGCAACGGUUCGCAUCCUCAACAGUAUCCAUUGUAAUAAAAGCAAAACCACGAGAAAUUCGUGUCCGCGGCUCCACCACAAGAAAGCACGAAGCAACCUAACAAAGAAGACAACUAUUGAUAUCCAUUCCAAAAUAUGGGACACACUAAUGUGGGAAACUGUGACAAUUCAAUGAAAAUGGAGAGGAAAUCAAAUAUGAUACUCACCUUUCCCUCCUUAGAGAAAUGCUCCUCUAGGUCUCUCUCAGUGACCCUUGAAGACAGGCCAGUCACAUAAAGUGUAGUUCCAGCAUUUUUAGCCUCAGACCUGGAACAUAAUUGACCAUAUUAUAAGCUCCUCAAACAACAUCAUUAAAUCAGAACACACAAGCACAGUUGUUCCCUUCAGAAAUACUUCAAAAUAUUAGACUUUAUUUUUCAGUGAAAGAAUUAUGAACAGAUACAUGUAAAACGGAAAGUGACUAACCUUUCGUUACUUCUUGAUCUUGAUCUGAACAAGACAACAUCAUUCAGUCCACAAUGUAGGACAGAGUGCACAAAAGGAAGAAAUAUCAGACAAAUUAGAAGGGAUAUAAUGGAAAAAAGAGUGGCACGGUCAACAGCCACAACUCUUGAAUGAUAUCAUGGUUGGCACUAACCUUCCACGACUUCUCGACCGGGAUCUUGGCCUUUGUUUCUCAAAAGAUCUUGACCGGGACCUAGACCUAGGCCUAGAUCUAGACCUUGACCUAGACCUUGACUCAGCCCUCCAUGGGGAAGGGGACCUUGAAUUCCUGAAAUAUUCAAUCAUCACCAAAGGGACAAAUGACUUCAAUAACCAAUAAUCUCAGAGUGCCCUCCACAUUCCUUUAACCGUGAGUUCGGAUUUAGAAUCUCAUAUUACAACAACAACACAAAGAAACAUCUCGUUUACAAACAAAUUAUUGCACAAAACUUGUUUGGGAUAAACUAAUUAAGAAUUUUAAUUCUGGACCAUCCUGAAUCUGGGCCAAGCAUCUGAGCUAGAUCUCGGUUGUGGAUCCUUCCGGACAAAGGCCAAAAUGUGUAGUCGACUACAUGUAACCCUUAGUAUUUCUCCACAGUUCUUUCACCUAUGGCUCGAGACUGGGAAGGCUGUGGACCCUCCCAAAUUUAGGUCGAGUUAAAUCUAGGUUCAAUAGCACCCAUAACUCAGCCGGAAUUCUGGGAUCCCCAGUGGAUCUCCGGUGAUCGUCCCUGUUUUCUCGCCGAGAUUGAGGAGAUCAAAUCCCAGAUCAACAGCCUAGGGCAAUACUACCACAAGGUGACCUACCUAGGGGGCUAGGGAAAACACCGAACACAGCACAACUAAAUGCUUCAGGCAUAGACUAUCUUCAGGACCUACCUACGAGGCUAAACGUAGACUGAAACAAAUUCAUUAGCAAAUCAUUUUCAAUGUUUCAAUUCAUUGUGCGUUAGAAUUACAAAAAACAUGAACGCAGACGAAGAUCAUGUCAAAUGCGACAUGAUGAUCGUGCAUCAGAAAUAUUUGAUUAUGAUGAUUACCAUAAUCUAAGAGGAUUAUGGGGUUUACCUUCUCGGUGGAGAAUCGGCCUGCAAAAUAAUUGGGGAAAAUAUUAAAACAGAAAAAAGAAAAUAAAAAUAGAGAACUUGUAAUAAUGGAUUGAGAAUAAUCCGAGUCAGGGGAAUGGAUUGAGCCAGAGAACUUGCCAUUGCCACGAGCUAAGAUCUUCAAGUGUUGACCCUCGAACGGAGAUGAAGAAUCAGGUAUAAGACGACGAAGGGUAACGGUUUUGUCGAAAAGCAAUAGCAAAUUGACCUUCAAUUCAUAUAGUGAGCUGUCAUAUGGGUAGGGUUAUUAAGACGGAUUAGGCUUGUUGAAUUUUGGGUGUUGCUAAGUGGCCCAUGUGAUUUUUUAACUUUUUUUUUCAAAAACAUGUUUUAUGAAUUAAUUUAAAAUUAAUGACUCAAAUAAGAAUGAAUAUGUGACUUUUCCGUUAUUAACACAAUACUCUAAUAGGCCAAUUAUAUCAUAAUAUAAUUAAUGUCUUUAUAUAUAAUAUUAAAAUUUUUAAUGUAUAUUUAAUGCAUGUAAAUUUAAAUAAUAAAUUUUGUGACAAUUAAUUUUGAUCUAAAUAUUAAUAUAUUUACAUAUAUGAAUUUUUAUGAAACUUAUGAUUUUUAUUUAAAAUUUAUAUAUGCAAAAAAAUACAUUAUUAGAUUAAAAUUAAUUGUAAUAAGAUCAAAAAAUACAUUAAUAGAUUUAUGUUAAUAAACCUAUGAUUAGCCAAUCCAUAAGUCUCACAAGGAUUGGCCAAUCCAUAUAAGCUUUACGGAAGAAUAAUAUUGGAAUCGUACUGUUGUACUGGGUGUACCAGCAAUUGUGCAGGUGCACAAAGCAACAGCCUUGAAUUUUUUGGUUGUCAAUGGACCAAUGAAAGGGUUUUUAUGGGAAAUGCUAGGUGCACCCAGCAACAUUGCUGGUGCACCCAGCAAUUAGGUGAAUGGACAAAAUUGCCCUUGCAUUAAAAAAAAAAAUUUCUUCUUCUGGAAGAAGGUUCUUCUGGAAAUCUUCCGGAAGAAGGUUCUUCCAGAAAGUUUCCGGAAGAACAAUUUGUGUUCUACCGGAAGAACCUUUUUCCGGAAGAACCUUCUUCCGGAAGCUUUCCGAAAGAAGGUUCUUCCGAAAGAACAAAUUGUAGUUCUUCGUGAAGACAUUGUUCCGGAAAGUUCCAGAAGAAGGUUCUUCCGAUAGAACAAUUUAUUCUUCCGAAAGAAGGUUCUUCCGGAUGAACAAUUUGUUAUACCGGAAGAACCUUCUUCCGGAUAAGUUACUGGAAGAACUUCUUCCGGUAACUUCUCCAGAAGAAGGUUCUUCUGAUAGAAUAAAUUGUUCUAUCGGAAGAACCUUCUUUCGAAAGAAGGAAUUAUUUUUUUAAUACAAGGACAAUUUUGUCCAUUCACCUAAUUGCUGGGUGCACCAGCAAUGUUGCUGGGUGCACCUAGCAUGUCCCGGUUUUUAUUCGCUCAUCACUUUUUACUAUCUUCACGCCUCAACUUCUCUUUUGCUUUUUUGAAGACCAAACUACCCAAAACACAUCCUCACCUUAGACCAGCAAUCCCGUUACAAGACCGUGAUAAGGAUGAAAAUGAAACUCAAGGAGUUCUGGUGAAGGUUCUAAGUUAAAAUAAAAUUACCCCUGUCUAAAGUAGAAAAAGAUAUGGGAGAGGAAAUCCAAAUUGCAUUGUCAUUCUUAGAUUUCAUAAGAUUAACUAGCACAAACUCUACAAACUACGUUGUUUUGGAACUCAUUUUUUGUGGUAAUGUGCAAGAAAUAUAGAUAGUGUCCUUUUUAUUCUGAUUGGCAUUAAAUGGUCUUACUAGGUUAUAAUUAUAUUGCUUUGUAAUGAUAUAUUGUAUUUGUUCAAGGUUCAUUCUAAUCAAAAUGGUUCUAGUGAAAAUACAAUAAUCUCACAAAUAAGGGAAGAGGAUGGCAUAACCAGAGCGAAAGCAAAUGGGUGUUGGAGGGGUUGGGGGUAAUUUUAGUACAAGAGAGAGAGCUUCGUGAUUAUUUUAAUUAAAAACUAUUCUAAUUCAUUAAUUUUUUUAUCCAUAAGCGUUCUCAUUUUUUAUAAAAAUAAUUGUGUUCUUGCCUCGUAUACUGAAUAGUGAAUACCCAUUUAGAAAUUUUGCUACUUUAAAAAAGUAUGAGGAAAAAACGUACAAUCUAUGAAUGCAGAUUAGAUUGCGAAAAACUAUGACCAAAUAAAGGAGGACAGGGUAACGGAUAUCUAUAAACUGGUGAUCCUUUCAAAAUAUGAAUCAAUUCUGUGUGAAAGAUUUACAAGUGAUCUGAACAAUCAUUUUUAAGUACAGAAAGCUACAUAACUUUACCCCCAACUUCUUUUUCUGUCCUCUUUCUCAGGAAGGGGCAGGCAACAAAUCACAAUCUUUACAAAUCUUCAACGACAUGAAUUCAGGAGUUUAAGUUGUUAGGAUAUCUGGAAUUGUCGUGGAGUGAGCCCCCAGUAUCUUACCCCCGGCAUCGGGGAAAUUCUCACAGUCAGGUAGGGAUCUAAUCUUCCCAUCGGAAUCUACCUGUACAGGAUACUUAAGAAGAUGUCCCUGCAAAAGUGAGAAAUCUUCAGAAGCGAAUAAUUUCCAAUUGUUGUCUGCAAUUUUAUUCACUUUAUGCACACACUCCAAUCUCUCUGGUUCUUCAAAAGUUUCAUCUAACAUGCCAAGAUGCUCUCCCCAAAGUGACAUUCUGUAACCAUAAAUCUGCAGGAACAAAAGCCAUCGAAUGUAAUAAAUAUAUAAUAUCACAUGGUAUAUUGGCACACAACAGCUAAGAGGUUCAUCACACCAUUCAGGCAUUGAUCAAUAUCCCAAGAGACAUAGUACAUAGAGGUACAGCCAUACAAGAGAUACAUAGGUGGAAAGUUAAACUAACAAUGAUUUUUAUUUGGUUACCUAUCCAUGAGAUCAUUAAGUAAUUCAAUAAUUUGGGAGGAAGUCAUUCACAUUCAGUAAAAGAUAAGGGUGAUUUUUCCAGGUCUACUUAUACCUAGAAUCACUAUGCAUUAUGUAAUCAAUUUAGAUAAGACAUGUGAUUUCGAACUCAUUAGAGUGCUCUCAGGUUGUCACAUGUCAUUUGCGGCUGGACAAAGAGAUUUACAAUUAGAAAAUUUGCUAUAAGAAUUAAAAGCUUAGGGAUAAAUACAAACCUGGCCAUGUGGAUGUCUUUUCUUUGCUGACCACGUGUAAUGGGGUUGAUAUGCACCCAUAGCUAUCUCAGUAUCUUUAGUACCAGCCAUAGAUCUUUGGUUUAUAUUAGCAGAUCCAAUUAUAACAUACUCAUCAUCGACGAUCAUCCCUUUAGCAUGCACAUAAAUCAUAAAACGGCGAUAUUUAUAUGCUGUUGAGACCUGACAAGGAAAAUAUACUCAACCCAUUCUUGAUCAUUAAAAUAUCUUCUACAGUUUGAAUGCUAACAAGGUAAAAUCUAUCCUCAGUCCUCAUGUAUGAAAUCAAGCAAUCAAUGCUUUGGACAAUAUAUAUUACGAAGCUUAGGGCAAACAAAAUAACAUUUUAGAAUACAUCAUUUUGUUUGUGAGUGAGCGAUAUUACAGGCAAGACAUUACUAUUAUUGUUGUCAAUAAACUAACUAAACUAGCGUACCCCAUUGCCCAGAGGCUCUUCGCUAUGCGAAGGUAUGAGGGAGGGAUAUUGUAUGCAGCCUUACCCUUGCAUAUGCAAAGAGGCUGUUUCCGGAUUCGAACCCAUGACCAACAGGUCACCAAGGCACAACUUUACCGCUGCACCAGGGCUCGCCCUCACUAUUAUUGUUGUCAAUAUGAAGAAAAUUUCAUCCUCUACAGUAGCAGAUAACUAUGAUAUAAAGCAACCACAUAUGGUCUAAUAUGUUAAUAAACUUCAUUUUAAAGAAGCUUAAAAGAAAAGAAUUAUGAUAUACUGAAGGUAAAAACAAGAUGGCUAUAAUAUUAUUUUAGAAAAUCACCUGUGCACCAUUUGUGCUUGAACUAUCUUCAUUAAAGUGUUCCCGAUUACCAAGGCAAUAAAAAUUGAGGUAAUCUUGUGGGUGCACAUCAGUAAGCUGCAUUGAUUUCAAUUCUCUAGCAACUGCAUCAUACAUCAUUUGCAUCGUUUGGCCCUGUAUACAGCAAACAUAUAAUUGAGAAUAAAUAUUUUCUUUUUUGUUACACUUACACUUUGAUCUUUUGAAGCACUAAAGUUUAGAAAGAUCCCUCUAACAUGGAAGUUGCACUUUAGAGAAUAAAUUGCAGGUUUCGUAACCAUAGAUGAAAAUAAAUGGUUGAUUUUGUCAAGAUACAACCACAUGGACAAACAGACCAGUAUUCAAUAGGCUAUAGGCCCAUUUGUGAGGUUUAUAGUAGGAAAGGAAAAGAGGGUACAGGGAACAGAAAAUGAGACAAAGGAUGUAGGCUCAUGAGUGUAUGAGAGGAGGAGGGAACAUAUUCCACAAGGGGAAUUCAUGGGAGUGAGGAGAGAAAGAGAUAACAGAAUUGACAUGGUGAAGAGUGAGGGGAGAAGGGGAUACUGGAAUUAGAAAGGGAGAGAGUGAAGGAUUAUAUAUGGGUGUCGUAACCGAAUAGGGGGUAUGAGGAAAUUGGUAUCGAUAUUGGCUAGGCUGAGUGAAGAAGCUAGUUCUUCCUCAGGAAAGGGGUUCUCUAAUUUCUGUUAUAGUUUGUUUUCUAUUGUUCAUCUUGUAAGGACCUAGUCUCCAGCCAUUACCCUACUGCUGUAGUUUUAAUUCAAUUCAAUAUAAUAUUACUUUAAUUUUCAUUCCUAUUUUGGUUCCUAUCAGUAUUUGUGAGAACUCACUCCCUUGAUUUGCUCGUCAACAAUUACUUACACUGUACUCUAUAAAGUGCACUUUAGAGAAGCAUAAUCCUUAGACUUCACAUUCAUAAUUGUAAAUUUCCAUAAUUGGACAAUAAACUUCAAAACAAUAGACAAAUACCUGCCAAAAGAGGAUUUCUUGCAUAGCCCCAGUUUUAGGAUCACCUUCUGGCCACAUUGGUAAAACAAUGUAGACAGCAAAUCUCUCCUUAGCUCUAAUUUUACUAGCAAUUUUCAGUGCCAAUUCCAUUGGGAUGAGAUUAUCAGCCCCUGACCACAGAAGACAAAUGAGACAUCUCAUUCUCUUCGAUUUUUUUUUUCUUUUUCUUUUGCAGAGAAAAGAUGUACAAACAAAGGAAUUUGAAAGUAUCUCUUAUGAAAAAAGGAAGCAAAAAGCCAAUUAGUUACUAAAGCAAAUAAAAUAAUACCAUUAAUUAAUUUUUUUAAUAAAAGUUUCUAGGACAGAGACAAGAAGAUUAGAAAGAGUUGGGGGGAUAAGAGUUCUUCCCAAAUAAAUUAAACUAAAUAUAAUAACAUAAUUAUCAUCAUUUAAUCAGAUUUGAACCUAAUUCACACCAUACCAACAAUUCUUUCCUCUACCUAAUCAAGUUCUGAAAGGGAUAUAUAUUUCAAAAAUAUAUGCAUUCAACUCUUUCUUUUUUUUCAGUAAGAUCAAUGCAAUCAUUUUUACAGAAUGUCCUUUUUCUGCACAACAGAGAAAAACACCUCACUAAAUUAUACACAACUAUCUUGCUUUUCAAAACCAUGAAUUUAAGCCUAACCUGCAUCUUUAUAAGCUGGCCAUGCAUACGAUGAUCCAAUGAAGUAUUGGUUUUCAAUAUAAAUAAAGUGUUGAGCAGAUCUGAUCGCUUGAAUGUAUGCUGUUUGAAUGCUUUUGUCUAUAACCAAAUUUUUAGCACAGAUAAGAUUCUGCAUCCAAAAUUAUGUUAACUAGAAAGUGCAGGAUAUGAUUCUAAUCAAUUCAAUAUAUAAGAUUCUAAACUCAAUAUCUAGGUUUGGUUUGCAAGCUAGUACAGAGUUCACUCAACAUAUUUUGAGUUUUCUGUACAGAAGAAAUAGGAUGAACAAGCAAGUAAAACACUAGUUAAUGAACCUGGGACAGAGCAACAUCAACACGUUUGGGAAAUCCUUUCAGGGAUCCUGAGUCAAUGGAGCGGAAGAUCUGUAAGAGUUUGGAAACAAUGUAAUGAAAGGAAUUAUCUCCAAAAUCAAGAAAAAAAUAGCAGGCAAGUAAAGUCUACUCAAAACUAAGCUUGCAUUGUCCAACCUGAACAUGCCAGUUUUCAGGAUCAUCUUCACUAGAAACCCAUACUAAAGGGUCAUCCUCUGGAACAGUAUAAUCAUCCGAUUUAUCCUUUAAGGUAGCAGCACCAGAAGGACUUAAUAUCCAUGAGAUGCGUUCUAUUCUUAUUAAAGCAUCGUCAUGCCAUUGAGAGGAUUUUUUGAAAAGGAUCGCAAACUCUUUCCACUUAGUUGCUUUUCUCCAUCGCUGCUCAAAAUUAAUAAGAACAUCAUAUGCAGCAGGUCCAUCUAUUCUGCAGUGCAAAUCAUGCCAUGGUUGUCUAGGAACUCUUGUUCCAGCCUACCACAAUCAAAAUAUACAAGAGUGGUGAGAACUGAGAAGUAACAAUAAAUCAAAGUCUAAGUGUUACAACAUUGUAAUAAAACCAUAAAACAAUACUUCCUACAACAUAAAAAUAGCAAAACAUAAUUGGCUAUCACAAUCAAUAAUCCAUAGAUAUGCAACCUACAAUAAACAGGAUUACCCUAUCCUACAAUAAUGAUGCAAGAAAAUAAAAAUCUGUUAGUUAUUACUUAUUAUGAAUCUUUUACUAGGUCCUUAACUUUUUCAUACAAACAAGGACACAAGGGACAACAUAAACAAAAGGAAUUAGAUGUUUAGAGCUGACAAUUACAAUUAGCUCCUUAUCAUUCAUUUAUCAAACUGAGUCCAAUAAAUUUGAUAUCUAAGAUUGUUCUAGAACAUUAUUUAGAAGCAAAUAACACAAUUGGGUUACUCUCAAGUCUAAAUAAAGUUACAACUGAGAAUUAGUCACUUAAGAAAGGAGAGCAAAUACUUGUAAUAAUGGCAAAAAGACACAACCUAUAAGCUGGCUCAAGAACCAAGUCUCAGCUCUGGUGGACUAACAGGAGGCACCCCUCAACAGCCCACAUGGCAGAGACUAUCUUUGCCCCAAAAUAUUUUUUCCUUUCCUGGAUAGUGCAAAUUUGCAAUCAAUGGUUGGGGGUCGGUGCGGAUUUGGAAGGGGAUCUUAAGUUGUGGUAACAAACCCCAACUAUAGGAAUGGUGUAACUCUUCCAAUCCCACACUCUAGGAGCUUAUGGGCAAAUUACAAAAUAAAAAUUCUAUGGAUAAACUUCAAUAUACUUGGUGACCAAACAAACAACAUCUGAGUCUCUUAACAGAGCUUUACAUACAAUCUUAUGGUGUAUCUUUCCAAACCACUUUGGGGUUUCAGUAAGACAUUAUCAAUGGCAUCAAUGAUAUUACAUAAUAUAAAUUCCAUUCAGAAGCUACUAUGUACUUGGCAGAUAAAUCAUGGAUAAUAAAUUAGAGGGUGUACACAGCAGUUUUUAUUCCAACCAAGGGUUCAAUCAAGACAUUAUGGAUAAUAUAACCAAAAAAGAUUCUAUUGAAAAUAGUUAAAACAAGACUUUCCUGAUUUCUAACAAAAUGAAAGAAUAAGUGAAACGCUUAACAAAUUAAUAUUCCCAAUUGGGCUGAAACUUACAGAAAAUGUAGGAUUGUGGAAAUCACCAUCAAAUACAUCGUCAAGAUUACGAAACAGACGAUGCUCGGGUGUGUCAUAGCGACCAUCACAUAGAUCAAGACCUCCUAUAAAAGCAGUUAUCUUCCGGUUAUUACCAGCAGCCUGUGUGUCCACAAUCACACAUUUUUGGUGGUGUGUGAAGACCGUUCCAACAACCUGUAUAAAAAACAACUCUAUGACACUGUUUGUCUCAAAAGACAGGACACCAUUUAACAAUAAUCAAUAAUUUUACAAGCAUAAAGGAAAGGGAAAAAUGAAUAAACGGAAACGUAUCUGUUAACUUCAAACAGAUAAUUAACAGGAGAAGGUAUAUUUCCCAUACUAAAUUUUGCACCCACAAAAUAUAUACCCACUCUUUAGAGCUUAGGCCACUAAACACAGGGCAUUUCACAUUUGACUCCACUGAAAACUAGCUCACAAAGAAUCCUAUCUCCUGACAGCAUACAGGAGGGACGUAUCAAGUCAACGCAACAACAUAAUACAAACAACGAGAGGAAAAGAAAAAACACAAGGCAAUAAGAAUUAGCUACAUUAUUAUUAUCUAAAUCUAACACGCAGACAACAUUAAGUGAACAUCCACGGGUAGCCAGUCUCAAAAACUUAGGCCUAGCUCGAUUCCUGUUUUCAGAAACAGUUUUCUGUUUUCUAACAUCUGUUCCCUUAGUAGAUUUGGACGUGUUUGUUUGGGUUUUCUGUACUCUCUUCCUGUGUGGAGUAAAGACCCAAAUAGGAAGGCCCAUUUUGUCUCACUUAUUAUACAGGGAGUGACUCAUUUGAGAGGAAAAAACAGUAUCAUUGAGAGAGAAAGGAGAGGAAAAAUAUUACAGAACAUUUUUCAGAUUGCAACUGCAGAUUCAUUCACCGUUGGAUCGGACUGAUUUUUGGACAGUAGGUUCUACGCGCAUGAUACUUCAAAUUGUCCGGUUGGAUUUAUUUUGUCUCUAUUGUACCAAUUAGGGAUUUAUUUUGAUUUGAGUGUUUGUAGCACGUUUUAGUGCACUUGUUUGAGAUUCUUUUGUAUCUUUGAUUAUAAUGGAGUUAUUUCUUUAGUCUAGACGACCCGUGAUUUUUACCCUUGCAUUAAGAGGAGAUUUUUCACGUUAAACAAAUUGUGUUUCUGUUUUCUUUAAUUUCUAUCUUGUACCGUAUACUUUAUUGGUACUCCUCACACGUUCUUGCAAGUUUUGAGGAAUUUACUUUUGUUGCCUAUUACUCUGUUAUAGAGGUUGUUAUCGUGUUGGUCUAUUUUCCCCAUCAUCUACUACAUUUCCAUUAUGUAAAAAUUUGUCCCCUAAGCACUUGAGAAGCAGAGCAUGAAAAUCACAUCUCAUCUGUUUCUGUUGUUAGUUUUUAAAACACAUACUUUGGAAACAAUUUUCAAAAAUUGAUUUUAGAGUGAAAAGGGAAUUGAUCGCUAAGUAGUGUGGAAUUGUUUUGAAGUGAAAAGGGAAUCAAACCCCGAAUGACCCUAACACUUGCCUGUUGCUUCAAGAAGCUCAUUUUAUUGCUGGCAUACCGAGGCGACAGAACACACAUAACAGAAGAAUGCUUAAAAAACUUCCUGGUUUCCUCAUCAUGAGUCCCCAUCACACCAGCCUGCACCAAAAAGAUCAUCAAUCAAUCAGCAACAAAUCAAAGAUAACAAACUAUAGAUGACAAAAACAAACAAUGCAAGAAGCCAACUAGAGCAAAACCCUCACCGUCUUGAGGAAAACCUUAUCAUGCGAAGUUUUAUCAUCCCAAACCAGCAACAACACUCUCACCCCUUCCUCAGACUUAUACUUAAGCAACUCACCAAGCGUCAAAUCGCCACCGCGCGGCAACGGCCUAGUAGGCUCUCUAACGAGCCUCACCUUAUGAUAAAUCGACCAACCCACCAAAUACACCAUGUGAUGAGCCUCAGAUAUAGCAUAACAAAUAUCCUCCCAACACUUCUCGUGUCUAUAAACAUUUCCAUUCUCCAACUUAAUCUCCGGUAACUUCCCUUCACCAGAUUCGGUACAAUGCGCGUCCUGGUACAACCUCACCGAACUCCCCUUCCUCACCGGAAAAUACGUGUGCCUCACGCCGUUGUGUUCGGGAUCCGCCGCAAUGCCUCGCUGGUACAGUAAAUUCUCCCACACCGGAGUGAAUUUCAUCUCCACGUGCAGCGCCGUGUCCGGCUUCGGCGGCUUCCCGGACGGCAACAGAAUCGGAAACCACUCGGAAAUCUUCGCUCCGGUGGCAAUCCGCCGCGCCGGAACCUUGACCGUUCCCAUGGUCUGCGCGCCGAAAACGUCGUCGUCCUUGACGCGAAACUCCAAAUCCACCACGGGAUGCGCGAGCGGGAUGUUGAACUGUUCCUCCCACACAGGGUUCGGCGAGUUCUUCAGCACGCGCGUGCGUGCCACCGUGGCUUGCGGCACCGAAACGGUGACGUACGGAUCGCUCGUGAUGAUCCUCGGAUGGUGGUGCUUCCGCUGGCCGGCUCCGCCGCCGCCGGCGGGAGCCUCGGAGUGGAAUUUGAUAGUGUCGCAGGCUGUGACGCAGCGGCGGAGACGCUCGGAGAAGAUGUCCAUGUUGGGCAAGUGGCGCGCCUCGAUGAUUUUCAAAUCGAGGUCGCCGUGGAGAUAGGUAACGCCAUUGUCGUCGCCGCCGCCAGUGUCCGCCAUGGGAGUGAGUGAUCCCGUGCGCCGAGAGUAUUGUUUUGAAUUUGCGCCCGGGAGCGAAACGGGGGCUUUUAGUGUAGAAGAGAAGGUUUGGUAUAGCGUGAAACGAAGGAAGUGAAGUCACGUGGAAGUGGUCGUUUUGAAUUAGGGUACGGUUUUUGUUAGCUUCUCGCUUUGGAUUCGUGUUGUGUUGUGUUGCGUCGAGGAGGGAACAGAUUGUGUUUCUGUGCUGGCGGGUUCACAGGAUUCCAUGUCAUUUUCGCCACAUUUUUUUUGUAACAGUAACGGACUCUGUAACAAAAAAAAAAUAGAAUAAUUAGUCAAAUUUGUGAAAGUGUAACACUGAUAUAGAUUGAUUCAUGUAAAAUAAAAUAAAAAAUUAAAUUUAGUUUUUAAUGUAUAAAAAAUACGAUAAAUAUAUAAAAUUAAAUUUGUAUUUUUUAUUUGUUAAUGAUGAACGACGACACGCCUAGACGGAACGGAAGCGCUAACGCCACGUGAUGAUGGCAGUUAAAUUAUUGGUUUGUUGGUGGUACGUUUUUCCUCGCAGUUGUUAUUGUAAUUAAUUAAUGUAAUAAAUUAUUGAUUCUUGAUCAGAUCUUUGCACUUGCAUGAUGUUUUGUUGAAGAAUCGUGACAUCAUGAAAAGAUUGAAAGUAUAUCAAAUCGUUCUCAUCCUCGUUGUUUGUGGGCUUGGAUUUAGAUAGUGGUGGCGUGUCAGUGGGCCUUAACGACGACAUUCAACUACUAAGUGGGCCCUACCUUGGGCUUGGAUUCCAUUUUCGAGCAAAUCAUGUCCCUCGUGGAAAUGUUUCGUCCGUUUGUCUUUUUUGAAAGUUUUUGCAUUUUUGGAUGGGAUUAAAGAGUAAAAAAGUUGUUCUUUUUUCUCUUUUUGGGAUGGGAUCAGACUGUUAGAGUAAAGAAAUUAUGCUUUUCUUUUACCGGAUGGGAUUAAAGAAAAAAAAUAUUAUUUUCUCUAAGUGUUUUCUUCAUGAACUUUAGUUUAUAAAUAUAAUAGGAAUUUCUUGGUGUUGAUCUUAAAAAAAAUUUACUGCUUAGAUUAUCCUGAUAAUUAAUUUUUGUAUUCAUUACUUAUUUUUUUAUAGAGUAAAAAAUAUAGAAUUAACAAACAAGACCACGUGUUCACCCCCCAAAAAAAAACAAAAUCAAACAAGACCACGUUUUGUAUAAUUUUCCCCGUAAAAGAAUGUGAUCCGAUUGCAAAUGGGUGCUCCUUUUCAUGGCAUACUCCAUACAGAUAAAAAAUCAUAAAUUUGAUUCAUCAAAUGAAUUCAUAGAAUUUGUGAAACAUUCAAAGUGGGUCCGUCACUAAAUACAAAUCUACGCUGGUGAAUACAACCAAUGAAAUUAUAAAUUUUGACUUAGUUUGGUUUCUAUAAUCUACAACCUUUUAUUUUUUUAUACGUAACAUGUAUACGCUACUGUCAUUUUUUUUUCUUUGGGUGUGUAUGGAAAAAUAAGGAAGCCAAACAGAGUAUUUGAUAAUGACUAAAUUUUUAGUAUUUGGUAAUUUAAAAUCAUGGUUAUACUUAAUUAUAAAGGAAACCAAAAGGAAGGGAAAGUAUAUUUAAUAACUUGGGAAAUAAUUUAAUGGAAUCUCGGUGAGUUGGAAUUGAGACAUAGCAUCACUUUGAUUUGAUGUCUAAGCAUAUCCUCAAGGAACUAGGAAACAUUCAUCAUGCGAUGAUGCAAAGAUACCAAAACCAGAUUCCGCAUCCCUACGGCCUUAAGCUUCCCUUUGUUUUUUUAAUAUCACAACAAUAAAAAAAAUAAAAAAAUUUGCCAGGUCAAAGUGUAUCACGGCUUUUUUAUCAGAAGGGAGCCAUUUUUUUCAAAACUACCAAAUAAGAUUAGAUUUUGAAUAAAAUAAUCAUUUAGGGAUAAGUCAUAAAUGAAUCACGAAAAAAGUUGUAAAUUAUGCUAUUAUCAUUUGAUUUUUAAAAAAAAAAUUCAUAGAAAUUAUAAAUCAUUACUUUUAAAAUAAUUAUUAUAUAAAAGUCAACGAAACUGUAUUACGGAUUUUCUCAUUUACUUUUUCAAUUAUAUACUCCAUGACUCCCAAAAUCUAUUUUAUUCUCUAUCGUGCAAGACUGCAUCUACUAUAUUCACACUAUAGCAUACCAAACCUUUUGGACUCAAAUCAGGGUGUUUUUUGGUUGGGUCUUUAUUUGGUGGCCGGUUAUAGGUUUAGUUACUCAUAGUGAGGGAUUGUUUAGGCUUUAAGUGCUCUUAUUUUUGGGACCAGAAUAUGCUGGGAGGGAUCACAUGUAUAACUUUCUUUAUCUGCUUGUAACUCUCAAACUCUUGUACCCAUAUUUUAAUAUAUAUUUUUCUUUGGCUGAUAAAAAAAAAAAAAAAAAAGCUCAUGGGAAAACAUAGGGGUUUGAUUUUCCAAAAUACAAGGAUGAAAAAAAUUUAAAUGUGAGUAAGCCUAAUAUUGAGAAUUAGUCACAUCUUCAGUCCAAAGAAGCAAAAUUUGAAGAAAUCUCAUGAGAAUAUCAAAUAGUCAAAUAUCAUAAUUAGGAUAGUUAUAAAAAAAAAUGGUUUCAAAUUGCUAAGCGCAUCAUGUGAUGCCGUGAUGGGCUGCAAUAUUGUGGUUGCUACAUUCAUUGUCUGCAAUCACAUAACAAGUACAAUGCAACAGGUGAAAUAAUUGCAUCCAACGAGAAUUAACAACAAAUUCCUUAUACAAAUUUGUUCUUCAUUCUUUUUGUGCCUUUACUUAAUUUAAAGGGAAUUUUGAGAAGUCAAGGGAGUUUGACAAUCUUGGAAAGUUGGUAGCGAAGGAAAUGUGAAAUUUAAGAAGGGAAGCAAGAGCCAAGAGCUAUGGGAUUUUUUUGGGGGGGAGGGUGAAUUAAGAAGUAUUAGAUGUUGAACCUGAAUGUUGAUCAUAAUUAAUGCAGACAUGAAAUAAGUUCACACUUCACAUCAUAAUAGCUAUAAUCCCCCUUAAUUACAGUUGUCGCAACCCCACCCUAUCGCAAAUUAACAUCAUUACCAAGUCAUUUCAGUAUAUUGUGUAUAGUGUAUACUGUCUAAUCUAUACUAAUAGACCAAAAGAAAAUAAACUGAAACGCUGGAUGAUGUGUACGCAAUAGCAGAUUGUAUAAUUAUUACUAAAUCAAAACUUAUUAUAAUUCAUGCAAAUUACUAUGAAUGGUUUUUCAAUCCAACUAUAAAUGAAAGUUACAUUCACCUUUCCUGCAAGCAAGUAGGAGAAUUGUUGAGCACUUUAAUAUUAUGGCCCACCUUGUUUUUGCACUGAACUUGUGUCUUGUGUCGUGGGAAAGGUGGGGGAUUUUCUUCCUGCAUCAAUAAUUUUUUCUUCUACAGCCAGGAGUGAUAAUGAAAAACCAAAAACAAUAGUCUAUACAGCCAAGAGGUCUCCAACUUAUAAUUUGUGUUAUAACAUUUUAACUAACUAAGUUAAUAGGUAAUUAUGUUAUAAAAUAAUGAUUUAAUUACAAAUUUUGAUCCUUAUAUCUUUUAGUCUUUAUAAUUUUAAAAUGAUUUUUUUAGUUCCUAUAAUUUAUAUUUAAAUUUUUUUUUAGUUCUUAUAGUUUAAAAGUGAUUGUUUUAGUUCCUAUAAUUUACAUUUAAAUUCUCUUUUAGUCCUUAAGUGAUUUUUUAAUCCUUAUAAUUUGCAUUUUAAUUCCUAUUUAGUCUCUAUAGUUUGAAAAUAAUCUUUUUAGUUUCUAUACUUUAUAUUUUAAUUCUCUUUUAGUCUCUACCAUCAAAAUAUGAAUAAUAUUAUCAAUUAUAAUUAACUAUAAAAAUAUUAAUAAGUAAUUUUUAACUAAUUUAUCGUAAGAUAAUUUGUAAUAAAAAAAUAUUUGAUAAUUUAUAAUUAAUUUGUAGCUAAUUAUUUUUUUUAUUUUUUUAUAGUAAGUACUAAAAGAUAAUCAAAAUACAAAUUAUAGGAACUAAAAAUAUCACUUUUAAACUAUAAAAAUUAAAAUACAAACUAUAUGGACUAAAAAGACCAAUUUUAAACUAUAAGGAUUAAAAGAGAAUUAAAAUAUAAACUAUAGGGACUAAAAAAAUCACUUUUAAACCAUAAAUAUUAAAAGAUGUACGAAUCAUGAAACUAUAAAUAACAAAUGAAUAAUUUAACUUAAAAUAAUUAAUAUCGUUAUAUAUAAUACUAAAAUUUCUAAUAUAUAUUUAAUAUACAUAUAAAAUUAUAUAAUAAAUUUUGUAACAAUUAGUUUUAAUUUAAUAAUUUAUUUUUUAACAUAAAUAAACGUUUAUUAAAUCUAUAAUUUUUAUUUAAAAUUUAUAUAUGUUAGAAAAUACAUUAAAGCUGCGUUGUUGAUUUACUUGGCCGCGUGGGAUGAAGGUGAAAGCAAAAGCCAGGAACUUGGCAGAUUUGGUGCCGAGAGGCUUUUUGAACUUGAACCACAUAAUGAGAGAAGUUGAAAGAGAGUAAGGAUGCUAAUGACAGAAAAAAAGAGCUGGAUUGAAGUGCAAAAUCAGAUACAACAUUUUCUGUCUCAUGAUCCGGCAAAACUGAGACCUGAAAAUAUUCAGAUUAUAUUGAAUACUUUAGCUGCACAUAUGAAGGAUAAGUGUAACACAUCUAACAUGAAAUCAGCUUUUGACAUUUUAUGAUUGGAGGUACGUACCCACAACCUGCUCACACCUUCGUAGCUUUAGAAUUAUAUUGAAAUAUUCCCAAUGCAUUGUUUGAUAAUUUCCUACUUUAAAUAUUAUGAAAUGUUACGGUGGAAUGGUGGAUGAACAUGCACGAGGGUUCAUUUCCAACUCAAGUUGAGUUACGAGUCGAACAAAUUCUUAUCCAGUAGGUUCAACUCGACUCAAUUCAUCUAUAUUUAUUUGAAAUCAGAAUAAACAAUCAAUUUAGUGUAUGAAGUAUUACUCUCACUCUUAAAUAGUCUUUAAAUUAAUGAAAUUAUAUAAGUAGUUAUUAAUGUAUUAGAAAUCGUACUAUGUAGUCUCUCAAGUCUUAAGUAUUGAAAAACUUUUCAAAUUAGAUUAGUAAAAUCUAUCAACUAGGUACUAAUUAAAUGGAUGAAUAUUCAAUAUUUUAGGGACUACUUAUAUUAUUUCAUUAGUUUAAGGAUUAUUUAGGAGGAAAGGUGUUGGAUAUUCAAUAUUUUAGGGACUACUUAUUUAAUUUUAUUAGUUUAAGGAUUAUUUAGGGGAAAAAAGUGAUACUUCAAGAACUAAAUUGAUGGUUUUCUCUUCGAAAUUAUAUUUUUAUCAUUUCUUUAUAUGAUACUUAAGGAGUAUUAGUCAUAUAUCUUUUAAUAAAAAAAUUACAUUUUUUAUUUGUUGGAAUUAGUUAAAAACUAUAAAAUGAAGAAGGAUGGCUAGUAGGAAUAUGCUGCUACGGUUUCUGCAUAUCAGGAAGUAUUUAUAGGCUGUUACUGUUUUUUGAGGCUUAUUGACAUGUUUCAGUUUUGUAUUCUUGGAAUUCUAUAGUUCCGGCACAACUUGUGCUUGGAAUUGUGAUUAUCAAUAAAAUUUCUUUGCCAUUGAAAAAAAAGUUUAAAAAAUAUAAAAUCAUAAGUGGCAAUAUGCAAAAUAAAAAAUGAAAUUUAUAAUUUUUUAUGAUUUUUAAUAUAUUUAAUUAAUAAUAAAAAUGUGUUUAAAGAAUUUAUGUAAUUAAAAAUAAGAUAAAAUAAUAAUAUAAUUCAUAAUCUAUAAUCUAAAAUGAGAAUUUAUGUAAUAAAGGUGACACUUUAACUUGGUCUUCAUAUUUAUUUAGACUCUUUUGCCUCCCAACUCAUUCUAUAAACUAUUUCAUUUUUCAUAUUCAACUUUCAACACCUCAUACCGGUUACUUCUAUUUAACCUUCAUUCUCUCUCUCUUCCCAUUUUAUUUUAUUUAAAAAAUAUAUAUAGAAAGGCACUGAAUGUUGCCCCCUUCGUUUGUUAAUAGAAAUAAAAUUAAUUUAAAAAUUAAAAUAAUGUAUGAUUAAUACUACAAAAUUUCAACCGAAUGUAGUAUAAUUUAAACUAAACAAUACAUUUGAUUUUUUAUCUUAUUUUUUAUAUUUAAUUUGUUCCACUAUUUUAAAAAAAUAAUUUAAUCAUUCAUAUUUUAAAUUCAAAUUAAAUUGGUAUUUUUAUCGAUUUAGAAUUAACAUUGCUAAUAAUUUUAACACAAUGACACAGUUAAAAAAAAUACUUACAGGCUUAUAAGUGUUUCUGCACAUGCAUGUAAUUAACAUAAUUUGGGUCAAAUUACACAUUUGGUCUUCUAUAAGAAAUUGAUUGCUCCAAUCAUGAUCGCUGGUGGUUAUUAGCAGCCACAUCUUGGCAUGAAAUGCAGGGAUCCAUAGAAUGUUUGUUGCAUCAUCCAAAAUUAGCAUUCAAGAGGUUGUUUUACAAUCUUCUCUGAAUACUUGAUGUGAUUAGUCAUAGUUGACACGAUGAGUGGAGUGCAUUUGUGCAUGGAAUCUUCUAAUGAAACAUUAAUUCUCAAAAUGCGAUCGGACAAGUUUCAUACUACAUGCUCAUGGAAGGUUUAAUAGGUAGUCCAAGGUGUUGGCUUCGAUUCAGAAUAGGUUAGGUUUUGGUGUGCUUAACAACUCACACAGUGUUUAGCGAGUGGGCAUUAUUUCCAUUUUAGCCUAGAUAAAUGUCGGAUCAUGUACUUCAAGGCGUUUUAGGUCGGGUUUUAUUGUAUUGAUUUUGCCCAAAGCUCCACUUCGGAAUCAUUUCUAAUUUUUUAAUCAAUUUAUAAACUUGUUCAAACUUAUUGUUCAUAAGAUAUAAAAUUUUUUUAAUUAUGGUAUUGACACGAAAUUAUUUAUAGUAAAAGAUAACAAUAAAUUUCCAUUGAGAGUUAUCAGCACACAUAAAAUGGAUAUUUGUUUUGGACCACUUGAUAAAAAAAAAAAAACAAAUCACUAAUACUUAUUCGUUAUUAUUGGUUUAUAAUAUAUAAGUCAAUUUAACUUUUAGCACAAAAAAUAAAAUAGAAGUUUUUUAAUUGUUUGCUACCAACUUAUAAGCUAUUAACUCAUUUUUUCUAUUAAAAAGUCAAUAAGAAUUCAAAAUUAAAAAACAAUGAAUUAUAAUUGCUUAAAAAUAUAUUUAAAAUUAUAUUUACCUAAAAAUAUUUUUUUACUAAAUAUAUAUAUAUAUAUAAAAUUUAUAUAAACGCGUUGUUUUGUAUCAAAAUUUUAAAUUUACCAACUACUUUCAACAAUUAAUUUUAUUAAAUGUUUCCAAUUAAAUGAAUAAGCUUUCAUCAUUUCAUCUAUAAAAUUCAAGCAUAAUUUUCAAGUUUAAUGAUGAAAAAAGAAAAAGGGAAAAUAGAAAACAUGUAUUAUUAUUUUUGUUUACAGCCAAUGAAAGUGACAUUCCCCUCUCCGCAAUUGUAACAUCAAAAUCAUACAAAGAUCCUCUUUCACUUGCAAAUUUCUUCAUCGUAUUCAACGAUGGGCUUCNNNNNNNNNNNNNNNNNNNNNNNNNNNNNNNNNNNNNNNNNNNNNNNNNNNNNNNNNNNNNNNNNNNNNNNNNNNNNNNNNNNNNNNNNNNNNNNNNNNNAGUGUUUUUGGUUGGAUCCUUUAUGGGCCUGGGCCUGGUCCUGGGCCUGGGCCCUUUUCUGUUUUCGGGCCUUCCUCUUCUUGCCCUGAACUUGGCCCAUGCACGACACUUUGGGCGAUGUGGGCUCUCUCGCGCUAAAGGUUUCGCCCUUGUGCUUCCUACGCGCUUCCUUCGGAAUUAUCGAAACCACACGUGCGGGUGAUCGACAUGGACUCAUCCUAGUCGGGUUCUGAAAGGCCACCACCAAAGCCGCCGCAGGUUGUUUUGUCAGAAACUUCAAGAAAUUGCGUUUAACUUGAAACAAUUUCUCCAUGUUGAAACACCAACAAAGGUGAUGCUAGACAACAUAUGAUAUCAAGCAUGGUAUAACUAUAAUAUAUAGAGAACCAUAUGAGGCACAUGAAAGGGGUGAUUCAUGAUUAAAAUUAAUCUAAUCAUAACAAAAAGACAAAAAUAGGAGGGAAUUAAAAAAAAAAUAUUAUGGUUGACAUUGAUAUCGUAUAUGUUGUGGCGUGGCGUGCUAUUGUAGUAGAGUUAAAAGUGGAAGAAGUUUUUUGCAGCAUGCUUGAGUUGCCGGCACAUUAUAAAAUUAAACUAUGAAGCUUGGAAUCGGUCGUGGUUUCAUAGGUUGAUGCGUCACUGUGACACUACCUUGUCCACUUGUUU
Molecule: long non-coding RNA, 67252 nt
Filed under: Glycine max (soybean)
Lineage: Eukaryota; Viridiplantae; Streptophyta; Magnoliopsida; Fabales; Fabaceae
Description: long non-coding RNA (GMAX_LNC000189)
Source: RNAcentral